This 64748-nucleotide long non-coding RNA is filed under the name Malus domestica (apple). RNAcentral describes it as "long non-coding RNA (MDOM_LNC000755)". The record is from RNAcentral. Lineage: Eukaryota; Viridiplantae; Streptophyta; Magnoliopsida; Rosales; Rosaceae.
UUAUAUAUAAUGAAUUAGUAUAAUAUUUUACACUUUAUUCGUCCUAUAAAUUAUUUGCAUGUUUUUUUUUUCACAUUACACGCCACGCCACCACACACACGCACAGAUAAAUUUUUUCACAUUACACUCUUACACACGCCACCACACAUGCACACAGAGUUCGAGAGAACCCACACCACACACGCACACCGAGAGCUCUCAGUCAAUCCCUCUCUCUUCUCCUUUCAGUCUUCUUGAAUCCCCCAUCUCCCCCUCCCCCCCCAACAAUCUCUUCUCCGCUGCGCCGCCCCCACACUUCGAAUCUUCAGAUCCGCCCCCACCCUUCGAAUCCUCAGAUCUCUCCCCCCCAACCCUUCGAAUCUUCAAUCGCCGCGGAUCUCCCCCCCCAACCCUUCAAUCGCCGCAGCCCUUGGAAAUGGAAAAACGAAGGGCGAAUUGUGUUAUCGUUUUUGUUUUCAUUUGUAUAUUUUCCCUUUUUUAUUGGUAAGAUUUGUUCAAACCUCAUCCUGCCAUUGAUUUUCAUAACUGCUUCCCAGAGCCUCCCCAAUUUCUUCCCCGCAGAAGCCCUCUCCUUCCCUUCCGACGACGGAGCCUUGGAGUUCGGCGAUAUUAUCGGUAAUAUCGAUAAUAUCGCGAUAUUAUUAUCGAUAUUAUCGCGAUAUUUUGACGAUAAAUGACUGGAUAUGUGUAAAAAUAUCGCUCUCUGUAAAAAACGAUAUUAUCGGCGAUAUUUCGCCGAUAAUAUCGAUAUUUUGUUCAUUGUCUUCAACUCACCUUCAUCACUGGAUUAACUCGAGUGGUUGGCACUACGUAUAUGUAUUAAUUUAUAAAGACGUAUUUGCCGAUUUCCUCCCAAACUUGUAAGGAAUUGCUAUUUUUUUCCAUGAAUUUUAAUUUUAGCUGAUUAUCCCCUCAACUUUUUUUAAUAGCCAAUUUCCUUUUGGAGUUUUCUAUCCAUUUUGGUCAAAUGGUAGAUCUUUGACGGCAAUAAAGUAGUUCUAUCCCUAUGUGGACAACAAACUGUUUUGUUUUUUCUUCUUUCGCUAGUUGGCUCCGAGAUAGUUUUAUCUUUCGCUAGUUGGCUCCGACAUUUUUUGUUUGAAUUAGUCAUGGGAGUCCAAUGUAGCUACAAAGUAUUGGCUAAGCGCCCUUUCUAAAACACAAUUACCUUUUUUUACCUCAUACAAUUGCCAUGUGUUGUUCGGUUGACCAAAUUGGAUGAAAUUUUUUAAAAUAACGCCAGAGGGAAAAAUGGUAGCUCUAUACAAUGUUGAGGGGAGGAAAUUGACAAAUAGGUCAUUUAUAAAAAGGUUACGAUAUUCUUAGUUAUAAUAUAUUACUUGAAGAGAUAUACUUAGGGGACUUUCUUCCAUUUCACAGUUUAACAUUGAUUUAUGUACCAAUAUUAUAAAAUAUUGUGUUGAAAAUAUGAGUAGCAGAGAGUCCACAAAGAUUUCUACUUUUGAGAGUCUACUUAACAUUUUUUAUUACUUGAAUCAUAAUGAUGCAUGCAAUCAUUACAAUAGAUUGAUAAAAUCUUAUUAGAUGGAAUAGCUUAUGUUUGGCAUGCUCAACGUGUACUGAAAAGUCUCUAUCAAAAUAUUUUUUUAUACAAGAUACUUAGCAUAAAUUGUUGAUGCAAAAUGUUAAAAAAAUAAGAGCUACUUCAUUGGAAUUCAAAAGAGUACUAAAUUUAAAAUAUUUUUAUAAAAUUUAAUUCAUGAAAAGUUUAAAAUUAUUAAAAAAAGAGACAUUGAAUGCAUGCGUUGACAUUAAAUAGAGUCUUGGGACUAAAAUUAAUUUGUAAUCUUGUGUAAGACAAAACAAGAUUAAAAAUUAAUUUUAGUUAAAGCUCACUCUCUCAUUUCUAGUGUAAAUGCUAUCGUUUGUUAAAAAAAAAAAAAUCUUGUACAAGACAUUUUUCUAAACUUCAUCUUAUUUAAAGAUUAAAAAUCUAGUUUUCUAACUAUUUAUCUUAUCUUGUUAGUUAGUUUCCUAAUCAAUGACCUUUUUUUUAGUAAAAACAUCUCACCCUUGUCUUUGCGAAGUUCUAGCUAGCAUCUUUGUCCCACGUACAUGGUAGGUCCACCUCUAUUAAAGAAAAUAUGAGCGAGUGUGUUUAAAUAGAAUUAUUGAUAUGUAAAAAGUGCCGACAAGCAAGUAUAUCAUGUGCAUACAUACAUUGUUAAUGUAGUUGUGUGUACAUAUCCUCCUUCUAUAAAAAGAUUAAUUGGGAAAUGUUGUGACUAAUUGUGUGAUGUAUGAAAAUAAUUAAUGAUCUAUAUCUCAAUGAAUUUUGCAUGAUUGGAGUGAAGAAGAAAACGUGAUAUUGAAGAAGUGUAGAGAAGUAAUAUUUUUAAGCAAAAACGAGGGAGGGAAUAAGAAGAUUAUCAUUAUAGACGUAGUUGUGUUGUGGGGUAUGUUGAUAACAAGAAGAAGAUGGUGGAUGAGAAAUCAGUUGACACCUAGCUCAGGUUCGAUAUGUUGAUGACGUCUACCAUCAUUGGCAAAGAGCGUAGCAAAUUAGAAUGGGAAAAGAUUUUUUUGGCUGCUGGAUUCACUCACUAUAUAUAACAUCACUCAUACGCUCAGUUUGAGGUCUCUUAUUGAAGUUUACCCUUGAAAAUAAAUCUUCCUACUAUUAUUGUAUCAAUAAAAUUAGGGAUACUUUGGAUGCGGUCCCUAAUCCUUAAUAUUCUUUGACUAAAACCUUAAUGGUAUUCAAAGUUUGAUCAAAGUCCCUUGACUUUGUACACCUCAUUAUAUUACAAUUAAUAUUAUAUUUUUUAUAGUUUUGACAUUAAUUGUUUGAUAUUUUAUGAGAUUUAUAAUCCUAUAAAUUUAAAAUCCCUCAUUAUAAUACUAUUAGAAAUGGUUACAAUAAAAAAUUCAAACAUUUUAAUUGAAUAAAUGGAUAAAAAAACUAUGCAAAAAAUAAGAAAUAAUAAAUGGCAAAAGAAUGUAUCCAUAGUGUUAAAAAAAAUUGGUACAUUUCACAUAGAACAAAGUGGUACAUUAAUAAAGAAGAAUGGGUACAUUAUAAAUAAAUUAGGGUACAUAUAAAAGAUUAAAAAAUUAUGAGUACAAAUGAAUUUUUAAAAAAUAUAGGUGCUAAAAGAAAUUAAUACAUGGGUACAAAAUAAAACUAAAAAGAAUAUACUACAAAUUUAAAAAAAUGUUGCAAAUUAAAAGUGGGUACAAACUAAAAAUAUAAAUAUAUGAUACAAAGUUUAGGCAUAAAACAUAAAUAUACCAUAUGUAAUUUUUCUAUCAUUGAUUACAUAUACAAUGUUACGUGACGGUAUACAUAUGGGUACAAACACAAAUAAAACUUUAAAAAAUAUGGGCAAAAAAAAAGAAACUAAUAUAUGGGUACAAAUUAAAAAUGAAAAAAAAAUUGGUACAAAUUAAAAAUAGGUACAAACUAAAAAUACAAAUAUAUGAUAAAAAUUUAGCCAUAAAUAUAAAUAUACUAAUUGUAACAUUUUUAACACUAAAGGAAUCUAUUUAAAAAUAAAAAUAUUUUAUUAUUCAAAUAAUUAAUGAUGUUAUUAAUACCCAAGGACCUUGAUAAAAAAUUGAAAAUGAAUAGGAUUUUAAUCAAUGGAGUAGAAAAAAGAAGGAUGUGAACCUAAUUUCUCCAUAAAAUUAUGUAGACACAUGCUCUAGCUAAUAUUGGUGGCCCUACUAUUAUAUUCCAUGUGUACUAAUCGAGUGUCAGUUUUAUGUGACAAAUAAAUAAUAAGUGAAGUGUGUCACAGCCCAUCCCGGGAGAUAAUUCUUGUUGACAUGAAUUGACGAAAAUGCCCAUGGACGUUAGAUUGUGUGAUGUGGUUUAAGUGUUGUUUUUGGGUCACUAUUCUUAAAUCCUAAUUGUUUGGAACCAAUUAGGAUUAAGUUAUUGUGUAUUUUGGUUGUUGACCAAUCCUAGACCACACACACACCCACCUACCUUCUUUCUCUUCAUUCCCGUACUCUCGCAUCUCUCUCGGACUCACACUCUCUCUCUUCUUCCUCGUACGGACCAAGCUCGAGGUGAGCUUCCCAGUCACAGAUCGAAGAAUUUAAAGGCGCCAUUGCAUUCCUCGUGCCAUUUCGAGUUGGUUGGUACCCAUUAGUUUGGAUGAAUUUUUCUCCGGUUUUUCUUUUUUUUUUGUUCGUAACUUUUUAAUUUAUGCUUGAUAUCACCUCUUAUGAAAUAGAAAUUUUAAAAUGGAGGGAUAAGAUUUGAAUAUUAUAAAUUUGAAAAAGUACUGUUAAACCAAGAAAUUAUGUCCCAGAUCAUCACACAUAACCACCAUAGUUUGUGAUAUUAUAUGACGCACCUUGUGAUCCAAACAGUCAGGAAAAGCCCUAGUGUCCGUUCGAGGUAAAUUAUUUGGACAAUUUUUUUCAAAGGUUUUGAUAGGAUACUAAGAUGGGCUAUCCAAAUUAAGAGAUAUGUGUAUGUUCUGCUGGUUCAUGGAACCCUUGUUAGUUGAUUGACACUUGUCAUUGGAUUGGAUGGUUAGUUAGUUGGGUGGUUAUUGUGUAGAAACUUAGCUUGCAAGUUUGAGAUAGAUAUAUAGCAGACUAAUUGUGCAAAGGAGGAUAUGUUGAGAAAAGUAUAUUGUCGAGUAAUAAUACAAAUAGAGUUUAUGUGCCAUGCGUUGAAGGUUAGAACAAGGUUCUUAUUAUUGGUAUCAGCCAAUUGGAUCCCACUUUUCCCUUGCGUAUGUCGAGAGCAACCACUCAUGCCACAAAGAUGGAUGCUUGCGUCAUUGCCCUUGAAGCUUCGAACUCUAGAAUCAAAGAAUUGGUCCAAAAUCUCGUAGCCCAAAUGUCCAAAUUCAUGGCGUCAAUGGAUACCCGUCUUUCGUUGGUCGAAUCUCGUUCUGCUACCAUGGAAGAACAAGGCCGCGAUCGUGUGGGUCUGUUGGAAUUGGAGGGAAAUCCAAUUGAUUCAGAAGAAACUUUGAGCGAUCAAAAUCUUGAUCCAAAUUUUCAAUUCCAGCGUCAAGAUCCUCGAUUCCGCCAUCAAGAUCCUCAAUUUCAGUUUCACCAACCACCGAUCAAGCUUGAAUUUCCAAGAUUUGUCGACGGGGGCAAUCCCUUAGCUUGGGUGUACAAGGCGGAACACUUUUUUGACUAUUUCUCGGUCGCCGACGAUUGCAAGGUUCAAUUGGCGUCCUUUCAUUUUGAUCGUGAAGCCUUUCAAUGGUUUUAGUGGCGGAAUUGCCUUAAGAAUUUUCCUCGUUGGCCUGAUUUUGUUAAGAUUUUUUGUCAAGCAUUUGGUCUCUCGAAGUUUGAGGAUUUCUCAGAGGCCUUGGUUCAAUUGAAGCAAACUGGGUUGGUGAGAGAUUAUAUAACAGAGUUCCGACGUUUGGCUAAUCGAACCCAUGAGAUUGCUCUAGCGAUGCUUAAAAGUUGCCAAGCUUGUUGAUUCUAAGACCCGAUAUUUCUCAAAAGCCUCAAAUUUUUCUUGGCAUAAUUCGGUUGGCAGUAAGGAUACACCAGCCUAUAUGGAUCCAAGUACUCCCAAUUCUUUUGUUAAUGUUCCUAAGCAGAGCAAUGUGAAGAAAAUGACAUUUGAGGAAAUUAGGGAACGCCGGAAAAAAGGUCUUUGUGAUUAUUGUCCUGUGAAAUGGUUUAAAGGACAUGUUUUCCAAAAUCAGCAACUUUUACUACUUGAUUUACCUGAUAAAUCUAAAGAGGUUCUUGAUGUUGAUCCUGUGUUAGAUGGUGAUGAUGAAUUAUCGAGUGCUCGUAUUACUGAUUGUGCUAUGUAUGGUGUUUCUACCCCUAAUAGUAUUCCAACUAUAAAGGUCUUGGGGUCUAUUAAACAUUGUCCUGCAGUGAUUCUUUUCGACUCGGGUAACUUUCACAAUUUCAUCAACUUUGCCUUUUUGAUGUGAUGAUUCCAAAUGAAGGUACAAUUUCAAGUAUAGGGUGUUGUUCUCAGGUCAAAAUUAAUAUUCAAGACUAUGAAUACAUCUCAGAUUUAUAUGUUUUGCAGUUGAGGGGUUGUGAUGUUGUUUUGGGAGCUCAAUGGCUAAGAACUUUGGGACUUAUUCUCUGCGAUUUUGAGAAGUUGAAGAUAGAAUUUGCUUUGGGUCAACAACACUAUUGUUUGUAUAGCUCUCCUUCUCCUGCACCAAGUUCCGUAUCAGUGUGUCAAAUGGAACGGUUGUUGAAUCAAGGGUCUUUUGGGGUAGUUUUAUUCCUUCUUGCCUCAAAUAUAGCAGUAGCAAUGAUUGGAGAUCUCUCUGAUAGUCAACAAGCGGUGCAGGAAUUGUUAUCUCAGUUUGAAUCUAUCUUCCAAACACCUACUACUUUACCUCCAUCAAGAUCCCAUGACCAUUAAAUUCCAUUUAUGAAGGGCAGUAAACCACUUCUUACAAGACCUUAUUGUUCUAGCCCUAUGAAAUCUGAAAUUGAGAAAGGUGUUCAGGAGCUAUUGGACUCGGGGUUUAUCUAUGCUAGUAAUAGUCCAUUUUCAUCUCCUGUUUUGUUGGUUAGAAAAAAAGGACAACAAUUCGAGGAUGUGUAUGGAUUAUCGGGCCUUGAAUUUGUUGACAAUCAAAGACAAGUAUCUGAUUCCUUUAAUUGAUGAAUUGUUAGAUGAACUCUUUAGGGCUCAGUUUUUUUCUAAGCUCAAUUUAAGAGCCGGGUAACAUCAAAGAUAAGUAUCUGAUUCCUUUAAUUGCCAAAAUAGCUUUAUGUACUCACAAUGGCCAUUAUGAGUUCCUUGUAAUGCCGUUUAGCCUCACCAACGCUCCAACAACCUUUCAUAGCCUCAUGAAUGAGAUUUUCAAUCCCUUUUUGCGUCAGUUUGUUCUGGUAUUCUUUGAUGAUAUUUUAGUUUAUAGUGCGACGUGGGAGGAUCAUUUGUCACAUCAUACUUCGGUCUUCCAAUUGCUACAACAUCACAAGUUGUUUGUUAAGAAAUCAAAGUGUGAUUUCGGCAGGUCACAUAUUGAAUACUUAGGACAUGUGGUUUCACUACAAGAAGUGGCAGCUGACCCUUCAACAAGUUAUUCAGAAUUGGCCAUUGCUUGUUUCGAUUAAGCCUUUGAGAGGAUUCUUAGGGUUGACUGGAUAUUACCAGAAAUUUAUCCCUGGUUAUGGUCGAAUUUGUGUUCCAUUAACUUCCUUAACUAAAAAGGAUGCUUUUCGCUGGAAUUCAGAGGCCACAGCUACAUUCCAUAGUUUUAAGGAAGCGAUGUUGUCUCCAUUAGUUUUGGCCCUUCCUGAUUUUUCGAAGACAUUUGUUAUUGAGACAGAUGCAUCUAACACGGGGAUUGGUGUUAUUCUACAACAAGAGAGCAGACCUAUAGCCUUUACAAGUAAAGCUCUUGGCCCUAGAUCUCAAGCUAUGUUGGCUUAUGAAAGGGAAAUGCUUGGAAUCGUUCAUGUGAUUAAAAAGUGACCAACUUACCUUCAGGGCAACCAUUUUGUUAUACGAACAGACCAUCAUAGUCUGAAAUAUUUUUUUGCAAAAUAGGGCCCAUACUCUAUUCCAACAGAAAUGGAUUUUGAAACUGUUGGGCUUCAAUUACGAGAUCCAAUUUAAACUAGGCACUGAAAAUCAAGUUGUUGACGCAUUGUCUUGGCUGCAUUCGGAGGCUCAAUUAUGUGCCAUAUCUUAUCCUUACAUGGGUUGGUUAGAUGACUUGCGCAGACACUUGGAGCAAGAACCUUGGAUUAUUUCUAAGCUCAAAGAGUCCUCUGUUUCUAUUGGUGCUGUCGGUACGUCUCUUUUUAAAUACCAUUAUGAUAAUGGUUUUCUCAAGAAUAAGGGAAGAAUUGUGUUGAGUCCUACUACCACUUGGAGGGACAAGAUAUUUCAUGAGCAUCAUAGUACUUUAAUGGCUGGACAUUCUGGUUUUCUGAAGACAUAUAAACAAAUUUCUUGCUCUUUUUAUUGGCAAGGUAUAAAGGCUGAUAUUAGAAGAAUGGUUACUGAAUGUCAGGUGUGUCAACAAAACAAAUAUGAAACAUUGGCUUAUCCAGGUAUCUUGAGCCCACUGUCGAUCCCUCAAACUGUUUGGACAGAUAUUUCCAUGGAUUUUAUUGUCGGGUUGCCACCUUGCAAAGGGAAGACUAUUAUUUUUGUGGUUGUUGAUCGGUUCUCUAAAUAUGCACAUUUUGUGGCAUUGUCACAUCCAUACACAGCCCAUUCCGUUGGUCAAAUUUUUGUUGACCACAUAUUCAAGCUCCACGGAAUGUCUACUACAAUUGUUAAUGAUCGAGACCCCGUGUUCCUUAGCUCAUUCUGGAAGGAAUUCUUUGCAUUACAAGGGUCUAAACUGUGUUUAAGCUCUGGGUACCAUCCCCAAUCUGAUGGGUAAACUGAGGUAGUCAACCGUUGUCUGGAAACAUACCUGCGCUGUCCUUGUAGGUUUCAUUUAAAGAAGUGGCUCCAAUGGUUAUCAUAGGCUGAAUGGAGUUACAACACCUCUUAUCAUUCAUCUUCGAAUCUCACACCAUAUGAAAUUGUGUAUGGCUAAGUUUCUCAUGCUGUUUCAACGCAUGAAUCUGGCACCACCAAACUAGAUAUGGUAGAUAGAUGUUUACAAACCCGAUCACAGAUUUUAUCUCAACUCAAGUUUAAUUUGGAAGUUGCUCAGGUACGAAUGAAGCAACAAGCAGAUAAACAUUAUACUGAACGUACUUUUGAAGUAGGUGACAUGGUCUACCUCAGACUUGUUCCUUACCAACACUAGUCCUUGGCUAGUUAUCCAUUUCACAAGCUACAACCGAAGUUUUAUGGGCCUUUUGAGGUGUUGGAGAAGAUUGAGACAGUAGCUUACAAAAUCAAACUUCCAGUUCACUCCAAAUUACACCCUAUCUUCCAUGUAUCUUGUUUGAAGAAGCAGUUGGGUGUGGAUGUGGCUCCUACUACUAUGCUCCUGGAUGUCACUGAUGACGAUCUGUUACAAACAACCCCAUUAGCCAUUGUUUAGCAUCGUGUGGUCACCAAGGCCAACUCUCAGGUCCCUGAAGUUCUUGUUCAUUGGAAGAAUCAUUGCAAGGAGGAUGCAACUUGGGAAGAGUAUGAAGAUUUCACGCGUCGAUUUCCUUGUUUUCAACCUUGAGAACGAGGUUUGUUUUUAUGAGGGGGUUAAUGAUAGGAUACUAAGAUGGGCUAUCCAAAUUAUGAGAUAUGUGUAUGUUCUGUUGGUUCAUUGAACCCUUGUUAGAUGGUUGACACUUGUCAUUAGAUUGGAUGGUUAGUUAGUUAGGUGGUUAUUGUGUAGAAACUUAGCUUGCAAGUUUGAGAUAGAUAUAUAGCAGACUAAUUGUGCAAAGGAGGAUAUGUUGAGAAAAGUAUAUUGUCGAGUAAUAAUACAAACAGAGUUUAUGUGCCAUGCGUUGAACGUUAAAACAAAGUUCUUAUUAGGUUUUGAUUGCAAGACCCUUUGGUAAAGCUGUGGUAUGAGAAACCUAUGGUGUGAGAAAGUUAAUUUAAAGCGAAACUAAUCUUUUGUUUCAGAUUUUGCGCAAACCAAAUUGGCCUCGUUUGUUAUUCCUUCUUCUUUAGAGCUGAUUUGUUCUUUCUUCAUCUCUCACACACGUGAAAGGAGAAGAAAGACUUACUAAAGUUUCAAAUAAAUUGUAGACUGAUUUAGUAAGCUGAAAAUAGAUCACAUAAAUUCAGAAUAUCUUUAAGCUGAGAACGAAGGUCUCCAAUAUAUCGUGGCACGAUAUCUUAAAGGUCAUUCCGGCCAUUGAUUGAAAAAAUUCGAUGAUGUACUCAGUUAUCAAGCAAGUCCCUUGUCCCAAAUUAUACAAUUGCUGAUAAAUUAUUUUUGAGUGGUUAAGGUGGUACUGGAAAAUUUGAUCGCAUGUGAUUUUUCAUUCUUUUUCCCAAGUAUUUUUUCUUUUCUCUUUCCCAGUAAAAAAAAGUAUUCCACAUCAAAUUAGAACUCAAAAAUGCACACUUCAGGGAUAUGACGUUUUCUCACCCUUGUGAAUCAUUCACAAAUCCACAUUUUCUACUUGCCCUGUACUAAUCUGAUUUACUAUACGUAAUCCAUUAUUACAAGUGAUAUUCUAGAUUAAUCUACACUAGGAGACAUUGAUGAACUCCAGAUGUAGUGAGUCAAAGAUAAUGACUCUAACCCUUAGGUUUGUCCUUGAUGCUACGAAGGGCAUUGUUGAUGGUAAUAUUCAAGGCUGUGCACAGCUUCGUCUUAGGUGGAGCUUGCCCAUCAUUGUGUCAUCUCCUAUCAUUCCGAUGAGGAGAGUAAGGCAGGGUGUCUCGGUCAGCUCUUCUUCACUCACACCUCUUCUUCUGGGUUUUACCAUCCCAAUAAGUGAGUGCAUCAAUGACAUCCUAGAUGGGAGAAUUUAUAAUAAUAAAGAGAGUUCUUUUAGGAUAUAGAAUUCAAGAAGAUAUCUAGGAGUAGAUAUUGUCCUCUUAGGAGUGUGAUUACUUGCAGUGUACGCCAAUCCCUGAUUAUAGAAAUCAGAAUAUAUGAAACAUAUGUGCUUCCCGAUCAGAUCAAAUUUCUGUAUCUUCCAGAACAAGAAUGGUUAUUGUCUAUGAAGUCAACGAACUUUGCCUACUAAUUUGGAACACAUGAUGUGGUGGAUUGUUGGUCCAUUUGUAUGACUUUACGAUAGAAGUUGUUGAGUCUAUGACCAGACAUCUGAGGUGUCCGUAUUCAAAAUUUGUCUUACUCCGGCCCUGAAAAAUCAUGGCCCCACAAACCUUAACAAUGUCAUGGACACCCUUAAAGACAAAUAUGAGGCCUCAGGUCAAAAUACUACUUUACAUUAUCCGAAUUAGUGAGUUCUCAUGUGACAUGAGUAUGAGAACUCCUGGUUAAUCGCGUUCAGUGUAUUCACUCUCUAUUGAGCACUUACAUACUUGUCUGGUGUCUUUCACACUAAUGACUCGAGACCAGUUAUUCUUCAGAGAGAAAACAUAGUAUAUACUGAUUUAUCAGGAUUGUCAAAUACUCAAGUGGCAAUCCUAUGAUUAGGAACUUAUAGGAUAAAGAAAAAGAUCUUAUGAAUCUAACUUCUUUAUAUUAUAUUAUCUUAAUUACACAUUCCUUGGACUUAGUUUUAAUGUGUAUAACAUUUAAUUAGACGGCUUCAAACAAUCAUCUUUGCCCUUAGAUUAAAUUGAAAUAAUUUAAUAUGGUAAAUGUUUGUAAAGUAUUAUCUCAUGAUUAUAUAUAUAUAUAUACACAUACAUAUAUAUUGUCAAACGAUAGAUUUGAUUAGAUUAGAUGUUAGAUUAGCUAAGAACAUAAUUAAUUUGAACCCACGCCAUUGGCUUAACACCUUUUCAAUACUGUGGUAAAUGGCCACUUGCAUCUCAUGAUUAUCUUUAGGCACAUUUCAAACACCCACUUGGAUAAAAAAAAUCCAAGACAUAUAAACUAUACAAUCUUAACACCCUUCAAGUUUCCACUAGUAGAGAUGUUGUAUUUUAUGAAUCACAAUUUCCUUUAUCACCAGUUUCGCUGACCUCACCGUACGUAGCCAAGCUAAUCCGUUCUAGCAUUACCAGCGACUAUUACUAUCCGUCCUGUAGAUUCAUCUUCACCUACAAUGUCUGAUCAUCCCAGGAAUUUCCAUAAAAGAACUUAAAUCAAAAUACUUAAUAGCAUGGUGAUACAAUUAUACAAAACUUCUACCCUGCGCUACUUUAGAAUUAUCACACCAAAUAACUCCUAUCAUCGAGACCAUCCAUCCACCUAUGUUGCAGCCUCAUUUGCGAAAGUCCACCCAAACAGAAACCAGCCCAUCUCCAGGAUUAUGUUUGCAAGCCUGAUGCGUAACCGCCUCCAAAAGCUUCAGCGUUGUCCUUUACAAGAACUCAGCACCCUUUAUGUAACUAUAUUUCUUACACCAUCAUUUUUCCUCUUAUCACUCUUUUAUUGCCAAUAUUACUCAAUUUUAUUAAACCUAACUCAUAUACAGAAGCUGUCAAAGACCCAAAAUGGUAGAAAGCUAUGACCUCAAAAUUGCAGGCAUUGAAAGCCAAGCACACUUAGACCCUCACUUCUCUGCCUUUCGGCAAAGAGCCCGUUGGUUGCAAGUGAGUUUACAAAAUUAAGCACCAUUCUGAUGGCACCAUCGAGCGUUACAAAGCUCGUUUUGUGGCCACAAGUUACACUAAGCUUGAAGAGAUCGAUUAUCAGGAUACUUUUUCUCCCACUGCAAAGUUGGUCACUUUUUGCUGCCUUUUAGACCUCACUGCCUCCAAGAAUUGCUCUCUUCAUCAAUGGAUGUUGAUAAUGCCUUUCUCCACGGGAUCUCUGUUAGGAAAUUUAUAUGGUGCCACCUCUUGGUCUCCAGCGAUAGGGGUAACAUAUGGUGUGUUGCCUAAGCAAGUCUAUAUAUGGCCUAAAGCAAGCAUCUCGACAAUGGUUCUUCAAGUUUUCUGAGGCUAUUCAAGUUGCUGGAUACACUCAAUCCAAAUCUGAUUACACUAUCUUCACAAAGAAAAGUGGUAUUCUUAUUUAUGUCGUUGACAUUUUGAUUACUAGUAAUGACCCCAUUGAUAUAAACAAGCUUUUACUUCACAGUUCCGCAUUAAAGAUUCGGGUGAUCAAAAAUAUUUCUUGGGAAUAGAUAUAGCCUAUUUCAAAAGGGUAUUCUUAUUUCCUAACGAAAAUAUUUGUUGGACAUUCUUAAGGAUGUUGGUGUAUUACGCGGGAGACUUGCCCGGGUUCCCAAUGGAGCAAAAUUUAAUGGUAUUGACCGAUGAGGAUGACUUGUUUCAAGAUCCUUCGAAGUAUCGAAGAUUGGUAGGAAUGUUAAUUUAUUUCACCAUCACUAGGCCUGACAUCACAGUUUAUGUGCAUACUUUGAGUCGAUUCGUGCAACAACUACGCAAGCCUCAUUAUGAUGCAACACUACGUGUAUUCGGUAUCUCAAGAAUACUCUGAGCCAAUGCAUUAUAUUCUCUUUAAAAAAAAUAUUUGUAAUUGAAUGUUCAUUGUGAUACUAAUUGGGCGUGAUGCCCAAUAACUCAAAGAUCUACUACGGGUACCGUGUUUUUCUUGAAAAUUCAUUGAUAUCUUGGAGAGUAAAAAGUAAAAACUAUUUCUUUGUCAUCCGCAGAAGCGGAUUCCCGUUCCAUGUUAGCAACUUGAUCUGAAAUAUCUUGGUUGCAAAAACUUUUUCGAGAUCUACAUGUGGGUGAAAUGGGUCCAUCAGUGUUUUAUUGUCAUAAUCAAGAAGCCCUACAUACUGCAACGAGCCAAGGGUUCCAUGAAAUUAAGAACACGAUAUGUCGAAAUAAUCAUUUUGUGCACGAUAAAAGUCAAGGAGGAGCAGUAAUCACUUAAUUUGUUUUCCAUCAUCAAAGCAGUUACCCGACAUAUUCACUAAGGCCUUGGGGGAAGAAAACUUUCGAUCCUUAUUAAGUAAGCAAGUUGGCGGUUCAUGACAUUUGCUCACCAACUUGAGAGGGAGUGUUACGAUAGUCAAUGAUUUACUACCAAAGUGGGAUUAUUUGAUAUACAAGAAUCAAGGAAGAAAUUGACAUACCUGUUGUAUAUUUGAUUUGAAUCUAGAAUAGCUUAAAUAUAGGAGUUCUUUUUGCUCUUCGUUGUAAAUAUAAUCCCCUGUACUAUUCUCACAUCAAUAUGCAGAGAAAAAAAUUCCUCAAUCUUUUUUUUUUAAUCAGGAUGUACUGUUGGAAAGGAAUGACACAGGCUCUAGGUCCGGAUGGAAUGACACUGAGGUUCUACCAGAAACAUUGGGGGAUUGUUGGAAAGGAUGUGUGCAAUGGUGUCUGGUCUUUAAUACAAUUAGGAUGCAUGCUAAGAAAGGUUAACUACACACAUGUGACAUUAAUUCCAAAAAUCAAAGACCCAACGGAAAUUGCCAUUUCCAUCCUAUUAGUUUAUGUAAUGUACUGUACAAGAUUAUGGCUAAUUAAGGUACUCACCAAUAGAGUGCGUUUGUUUCGGGGCAUCUUAUCUCCGACAAUAGUUUGGUGGCAACUGAGCUAACACAUUACAUGCAUAAAAGAAAAUUUGGGUGGAAUGGUUUCAUGGCUUUGAAGCUCGACAUAAGUAAAGCGUAUGAUUGUCUUGAGUGGAAUUUCUUGGAAGCAAUGAUGCGUAGUUUGGGAUUUUCUGAGGAAUGGAUUCGCUUGAUUAUGGUAUGUAUUUCUUCCGUUUCUUACUCCUUCAAGAUUAAUGAGGAAUUGGUGGGAUAUGUACAGCCGCACCGAAGAUUCGACAAGGUGAUCCGUUAUCUCCAUUCCUAUUUGUAAUUUGUGCGGAAGGACUUUCGACGAUGCUCACGAAAGAAGAGACUGAUGGUCGGCUUAAGGGGAUUCAAUUGUGUCAUGGAGCUCCGGCAAUUCACGGUCGAUAGUUUCUCAUUUACCAAUGGGACAUUUGAAGAUUGCAACAAUAUUAAAGAGUUGCGAGCUGGCUUCAGGACAAGCUGUGCAUCUUUAUAAAAGUUGUGUAUCUUUUAGUAAAAAUCUUACGAAGGUUAACCAACAGUUGUUAGCUAAUUAUCUUAGGGUUCAAAGAGUGGCGUUUCACGAUCGCUACUUGGGUUUGCUAGUAUAUCAGAAAAUCGAAGAAAAAGACGUUUGCUUAUGUAAAAGAUCAUUUGUGGAAGAAACUCAAUGGUUGCAUGGGUGGAUUGUUGAGUAGUGCUGGAAGAGAGAUAUUAAUAAAGACAGUUGCUCAGGCAUUACCAUCAUACACGAUGCAAUGCUUCUUACUUCCAAAAACCUUAUGCGAGGAAUUAAAUAUGAUGAUUGCAAAAUUCUGGUGGAGUGGUGAUCCCUGUAAAAAGAAAUUACAUUGGUUAAAUUGGUGUAUGUUAUGCAAACCAAACAAUGAAGGGGGCUUGGGUCUUCGGGACUUGCUUUCAAUAUUGGGUUGCAAGCUAAACAAGCUUGGAGAUUUGUGUUAGUGUUUUAUAAGGUUUAUGUUUUGUAUGAUUGUUUUGAAAGGUUUGUGUUAUGGAGAAUGGUAAUGUUCUUCACAGAAAUAUGGAAGGGGAAUUUCGGCUAUAUGUAGUCUUACAUUGCAACAACACAUAACACUCAUAUAUAUAUGGUGUCAGUAGGGUUUUGGUGUGUACAGUCAGCCCUUAUCUCCAUUGGAGCUAGCUGACAAAAACCACAACAACCUGAUAGUACAAAGCUAAUCUAAGCCCUUCAUUGGAGCUUUUAAUCUAAGAUUUACACUUGUAAAAAACUAUCACUAAAAAACUAACUAGCCGUUACAAAUUAAAAAACUAGCCGUUAGCUUCAUUUGAUGUUGCUGCUGCAUCCCUUCUCGAUCCACCUGAAAGUGUUUAUCAUCCAACACUCCCCUCUAAACUCUUCCUGGUGUUGACUCCAAGUGGGCUUCUGAGGUAAUUGAACCUUUCUUUUGGUAGUGCUUUUGUAAAGAUGUCUGCUACCUGAUCUUCAGUUGCAGUACAUUAGUUCAAUGACAUUCUCUUGUAUUGCAUCUCUGAUAAAAUGAUACUUCAUUUUGAUGUGUCGUGUUUUCUGAUGAAAUACUGGAUUCCUUGUCAUUGCUAUUGCUGAGGUAUUAUCACACAUUAGCUUAGUUGGUUCAACCUGCAGUUCCCCAAAAUCUUUGAGAACAAAUCUCAGCCAGAUUGCUUGAGAUGUUGCUUCUGCAGCACUCACAUAUUCAGCUUCGGCUGUUGAUAGUGCAACACUUUGUUGCUUAACUGAGGCCCACGAGAAUACACCAGAGCCAAAUGUAAAUGCAUACCCCGAUGUGCUCCUCAUGUCAUCUUCACUGCCUCCCCAGUCACUAUCACAGAAACCGACUAAUAUAGUUGUCUGUCCUUUCUUAUACUUGAUUCCAAAAUCGAUUGUCCCUUGCACAUACCUGAGAACCCUUUUAGCAGUUCCCAAAUGUGUUUUGGUAGGAUUGUGCAUGAAUCUUGAUAGUAGGCUUGCAGCAUACAUGAUGUCCGGUCUUGUUGCUGUGAGAUAUAACAGGCUGCCAACAAUUUUUCUGUAGAGAUUUGCAUCUACUGGUUCACUUCCACCUUCACUUUUGAGUUUUUCAUUUGCAAUUAAGGGAGUGCGUACUGGUUUCAUCCCUUAAGACCAAAUCUAUCUAGAAGUGUUUGUGCAUAUUUCAUCUGAUGAAUGAAAAUGCAAUCCGACUUUUGAAUCACCCCCAUUCCAAGAAAGUGAUGAAGUAGCCCCAAAUCUGUCAUCUCAUAUUUUUCCAUCAUUUCAUUUCUGAAUUCAUCCAUCGUUUUCUUACUGUUUCAAGUGAAGACCACAUCAUCCACAUAGAUAGAUACUAUGAGAAUUUCUGACUUGUUUUCAACCUUGAUGUAAAGUGUUGCUUCACUGAGGCUUUUCUUGAACCCACACUUAGUGAAAUGUGCAUCAAUCUCACUGUACCAGGUUCUUGGUGCCUGUUUCAGGCCAUAAAGUGCCUUCUUUAGUCUAUACACCUUGCUCUCGGACCCUUUGACUUCAAAACCUUGUGGCUGGUCCACAUAGACUUCUUCCUCUAACACACCAUUUAGGAAUGCAGACUUAACAUCUAACUGAUAUAGCUGCCAACCUUUCUGUGCAGCUAAUGCAAUUAGAGUUCUAAUUGUAUCUAGUCUAGCCAUAGGUGCAAAUGUCGCAUUAAAAUCAAUUCCAGGCUUUUGGGAGUAUCCUUUAGCCACCAAUCUAGCCUUGUUUUUUUGCACAGAUCCAUCCAAGUUCAGCUUGGUUUUAUAGACCCAUCUCACACCAAUCACAGGUUUAUCACUUGGUCUAUCAAUUAGAGUCCAAGUUCCAUUUUUCUCUAUCAUUGAGAUUUCAUCUUCCAUUGCUAUCUGCCAUGCCUUGUCACUUUCAGCUUUUUCAAAAGUUUUUGGUUCAGUAACACAAAAAUUGCAAGCAACAUAGAUUUCAUCCAGGCUUCUCAUCUUAAUUGGUGUUGAUCCCAAGCUAGAGCUUGAGCUUUGUUGCUCUUCCUGUUGAGACAUUGAACUUGCACUUGAGUUCUGUGAACUUUGAAGAGUUUGAUAUGGUGAAAUCUGAGAGCUUUGUAUGCUUCCUUCUUCAGAUUCAUGAGUUGCACCACUUCCAUUUUGUGUAGUUCUUUGUUCAGUAACACCAAUUUGCAGUGAUACUUUGUCUUCUUCCACUGCUGUUGUUUCCUAAUUCCACAAUGUUUCUUCAUCAAAAAUCACAUCUCUUGAGAGAUUGAUUUUCUGAGUUUUCAAGUUGUACAAUCUAUAGCCUUUCUCAUUUGUACCAUAUCCAACAAAGAUGCACUUGUUGCUGGAUUCUUGUAAUUUAUGUCUGAGUUGUGAUGGUACAAGUGCAUAACACACAGAGCCAAAAACUUUCAAAUGCUUGACUCCAGGCUUUCUUCCACUGAACACUUGAAAUGGUGUUCGUUUCUCCAAAGCCUUGGUGGGACAUCUAUUCAAGAUAUACACAGCAGUGUUCACAGUUUCUCCCCAAAAUGAAUAGGGCAUUUUCUUUUCAUGCAGCAUGGACUUUGCCAUCUCCACUAUAGUUCUGUUCUUUAUCUCUGUAGUGCCAUUUUGUUGAGGAGUGUAUGCUACUGUGAGUUGCCUUUCUAGACCCAAUUCCUCACAGAAAGCAUUGAAUUCCAGUGAGGUAUACUCACCUCCCCUAUCACUCCUUAUCUUCUUGAUUUGAUACCCACUUUGCAACUCCACCAUUGCUUUAAACUUCUUGAAAAUAUUAAAGACUUCUGAUUUGAAUCUCAUAAAAUAUACCCAACACAUUCUUGAGUAGUCAUCUAUGAAAGUAAAAAAUACUUGUUCCCACUGAUGGAUGCAUUCUUCAUUAGACCACACACAUCAGUGUGAAUUAGUUCUAGUGGUUUUGCAACUCUCCAAGCCUUUCCAAUUUCGAAAUUGUCCCUAUGUUGUUUUCCAAAUGCACAGCCUUCACAAACUUCAUUCAUUUCAUCCAGUUGGGGCAAACAUUGCACCAUUUCAUGUUUCUGCAGGUUUUUCAGACUCUGCACAUGCAAGUGUCCAAAUCUUUUGUGCCAUAAUCUUUCUGAGUCAAUUGUGCUUGCCUUUCUUGCCACUUCUUCCAAGCACUUUAGUAAUAAUGGGAAGCUUCUGUUUUUCAUUUGAACUUUCACAACCAGAUUCGACAGAGUUCUAUCAUCAUAUAUUUCAACCAUAGUAUCUCCAAACAGCAAGAAAUAACCAUGUUCCAUUAUCUGUCCAACACUUAAAAGGUUUUCCUCUAGACCAGGUACCAACAUGACUUCCUUAAUGUGUCUUCUUCCUCUUUUGGUUUCUAUGAUGACAGUGCCCCUGCCAGUUGCUUCCACAAUAUUGCCAUUUCCCAUUUUUACUUUUCCAGUAUAUGUAGUGUCAGUGUCUGUCAAUAGAGACUCGUGGGCAGUCAUAUGAUUAUUGCAUCCACUGUCUAUAUACCAAACUUCACUAUCUUUUACAACACUGGCACUAAAAGCACAAAAACAUUUGUUUCAUCUUGUACUCGAUUUGCAAUGUUCACUUACUGAGUAGUAUUUGAUCUGCAAUCUUUCUGCAGGUGACCAAAUCUAUUGCAUUUGUGACAUUUUGGUUUUCCCUUGAACCAACAUUCACCAAAGUGUGCUUUAUCACAGUAUUUGCACAAUGGUUUAAUUUUACCACCAUUGUUGUUUCCACUGUUGUGUUUAUUCUCCCCACUUGGUCUUCCUUCCCAUUUCUUAUUUUUUUCCUUUCCAAUCUGUCAUCGGUCUGUUUUGAUGUUGAUUAGAAUGACUAGAAGCCCCUAUGUUAAGUGACUGGAAAGCCUUCUCAGUUGUCCCAUCAGCAUGUCUUUCGAGCCUUUGGUCAAAAGCUCUCAAGGAAGCCAUCACAUCUUGCACACUGAGUGUAUCAGUAUCCUUAGUUUCUUCUAUCACACUCACAAUAGAGUUAUAAGGCUUAGUCAAACUAAUUAGAAGCUUUUGCACUAUUCUUUCAUUAGGCAGUUCUUCUCCAUAAGUUUUCAUUUGAGUCACAACAUCAAAUAGCCUAGAAAAAUAGUCUUUAAGUGGCUCAUCUUCUCUCAUGCGUGUAUAUUCAAAAUCACGUCUAAGAGACUGGAGUUUUACUUUCCGUACCUUCACAUCUCCUCUGUAUUCUUGUUGCAGAGUAUCCCAAGCAGCUUUAGCAGUUUCUUCAUUUGCUAUCCUGGGAAAUAUGAAGUCUGAGACAGCCCCUUGAAUGAUUCCCAAUGCUCUAGCGUCAUUCAUCCUAUUCUCCUUCAGUGUAGCUAUCUGCUUCUCUGUAAGAUCCUCUUCUAGAGCAUCAAUCUCCAUUUUUGGUAGUUCAUAUCCAUGUUGAACCAUUUCCCAGAGAUCAUACGACUUGAAGAUGGUUGUCAUCUGGAUCCUCCAAUAGUCAUUGUUUUCUCCAUCAAAGAUUGGAGCUUUAAGAUCACCAUCCAAAGAUCCUUUCAUCUUCGACUUGUAUUAACACCUAGGGUUUCAGCCUCUACCUGAACAACCCCAAAUACAGAUUCCACAACGCCCAGAUUUCUGAGAUCAGGAACUAGGCUCUGAGGCCAUGUUAGUGUUUUAUAAGGUUUAUGUUUUGUAUGAUUGUUUUGAAAGGUUUGUGUUAUGCAGAAUGGUAAUGUUCUUCACAUAAAUAUGGAAGGGGAAUUUCGGCUAUAUGCAGUCUUACAUUGCAGCAGCACAUAGCACUCAUAUAUAUAUGGUGUCAGUAGGGUUUUGGUGUGUACAGUCAGCCCUUAUCUCCAUUAGAGCUAGCUGACAAAAACCACAACAACCUGAUAGUAUAAAGCUAAUCUAAGCCCUUCAUUGGAGCUUUUAAUCUAAGCUUUACACUUGUCAAAAACUAUCACUAAAAAAUUAACUAGCCGUUACAAAUUAAAAAACUAGCCGUUAGCUUCAUUUGAUGUUGUUGCUGCAUCCCUUCUCGAUCCACCUGGAAGUGUUUAUCAUCCAACAAUUUGUUCAGGGUUCGGAGUCCUUAGCCUUUCGCCUUUUCAAGGCUAAACAUUUUCCACAAACAGGUUUCUUGGACGCUCGUGUGAGAGCAAAUGAUUCAUAUUGCUGGAAGAGCAUCACUGCUACAUGGAGCAUGGCCCAUAAAGGAAUGAGGUGGCAGGCAAGCAAUGGUUCGAAUAUCAGAGUCUGGAAGGACAACUGGGUUCCUUGUGAGGAUUUUUUUUCAAAGUCAUCAGUCCAAUACUAGAGAACUGGGAUGAGGAAACAACAGUGAGUCGAUUAAUUUUUUCAUAUACGAGAUAAUGGGACCGCAUGUUGCUGGAACAAGUCUUCAACGCGGAAGAGGUGAAACUUGUUAACAAAUCAAGGAGAUCUCAAUCAGAACAAAUCCCUAAUUAUUUGUUUACUUAGCUUUUUAUGUAUUUGCAUAGUUAGGAAGUUAACUCCAGUUUCUAUGUAGUUGAUUGUGCAUAUCAACUGUAUAUAUUUCUUCUUCACAUAUCAAUGAAAUACACAAUUAUUCUAUUCAAGCUUUCUCUUCUUAGCACCAAAGCCUAGGUUUUCAGAAAAAACACCAAAAAAAAAAAAAAAAAAAAAAAAAGACGAGGCCGUGCUUUGUAUGGAGAACCAUAACUACCAAUUGUACAGUCGCCAUCCGACCAGCUAGCGAUGCCGUCAUUGUUUAUCCGAGUUCACCAAGUUGCUUCAUGCAUCCACCACCAUGAAUCAAGAUUUAACCCCUACCUAAAAUUUGUCCCAGAUUAUGACCUGCAAAUCUGUUUUGUGUGCCCAGAUUCGAUUGAAGCGGCUAUGUUUAGUUUUUAUGCCUAGACUCCGUGACCCCCUUGUUGUUGUUUGAAGAACAACAGAAAAAAACUUGCUGUUGCAAAAAAGAAAAAGGCAAAAACAGCUGUUGUGCUGUUGUGAAAAAAAAAGAAAAAAAAAGCUUGUUGUUUGAAGAAAAGAAAAUGAGGAAGAAGAACGGGUGAAGAAGUAAAGAAAGAAGAAAAAAGAAUAAGGGGAAGAAGGAAGAAAACAGAAAAAAGGAAAUUUGUUGGCAUUUUUGUCUCUGUUUGUUUUAUAAGACCUUUAUUUGGAAGUUUCAACCUUAUCAAUCACCCAUACACGUUGCACCAAAUUCAUCCAGAGCAAUGGUAGUCCAGACUCGUGCAUUGAUUGCAAAAACUAAGGUAGCUUCUGAACAUACACAUAACGAUGGUAAGGCUUUAAAGGUUUCUCCAUCUAUUACAAAUAAUAUAUGGAUAAUUGAUUCUGGUGCUACUGAACAUAUGAUUUGUGAUUCUGGACAAGUACAAACCCUAAAACCAUCCACCAAAAUUGUCGUGAGUGUUGCCAAUGGUAACGUUGUCCCCAUUAUUGGGGAAGGCACUGUCUUCCUUUCUGAUACCCUUAAUCUUGAUUCCAUACCUGUUGUUCAUUCCCUUGACUAUAAUUGAUUAUUAGUUGCUCAAAUCAGUUGCCUUACAUUGCUUUGUGAAAUUUUGGUCUUCUUUUUAUGUUUUUAAGGAUAUUCGAACUUGCAAAACCAUUGGUUAUGGUAUUAGGAAGGGCAAGCUGCACCACUUGGAGCUGACAUCGAACAUUACCGGAAUGUUGACUCAAGCUCUUGCAGUGGAAGGAUCUCAAGGGGAGAAGAAUAAAGGUUCAAAGGUUUGGUUGUGGCAUCGUCGACUUGGACAUGCUUCUUUUGGUUAUUUAUGAAGGUUGUUUCCUAGCUUAUUUGUCAAGCGUGAUGUUUCUAGCUUUAAAUGUGGUAUUUGUGAACUGGCUAAAAGUCAUCAUACUUCAUUUCCGCCCAAUAUGACUAAAAGUUUUGUUCAUUUUAUGAUAAUCCAUUAUGAUGUUUGGGGAGGCUCAUUGGUUCAUUACUUUUAUUGAUGUUUGCACACAUAUGACUUGGGGUUUGUUUGAUGAAGUCCAAAACUGAAGUUACUUCUUUGUUUCAACGAUUUUACAAAAUGGUGCAAGUACAAUAUAAGUCACAAAUACAGGUUCUCAAGUGAUAAUGGCGGUGAGUAUGUGAACAAUGAGCUUCGUGCCUUUCUUGACCAUCAUGGUAUUGUCCAUCAAUCUACACGUUCAAACACUCCUUAACAAAAUGGGCUUGCACAACAUAAGAACUGUCAACUUUUGGAAGUUGUUUGUGCUUUCUUGCUUGAGGCUCGUCUUCCGCUAUCCUAUUGGGGAGAAGCUUUCACUUCAGCUGCAUAUCUAAUUAAUUGUGUUCCCUCUUGAUUGGUUAAUUUUUAGACACCGUUUUAGGCUCUUGCCUCCCAUUUUGAUGCUCUUGCAGUUCCCAAUCUCCUACCUCACGUGUCUGGUUGUAUGGCAUUCGUUCAUCUUCAUAAGUAGCAGAAAAGUAAGCUUGAACCUUGGGCCUUACGAUGUGUGUUUGUGGGGUAUGCCUCACAUCAAAAGGGAUACCAAUGUUAUCACCUUUCAAUGAAAAAGUUGUUCAUCAUUAUGGAUGUUGCAUUUCAUGAGAAUAAUGUGUAUCAUGCCAAUCUCAAGUUUUCACUUCAGGGGGAGAAUCAGAUAGAGUUUAAACUUUUGAUUAUAGUAUUCUAGAUACAGUUAUUAUGAAUGAUUUGGAUUCAAGUGGUGAUGUUUUGGAAACAAGUGGUGACCAUUCACAAGAAAUUAAUGUUGUUAAUGACUUGGAAUUAAGUGGUAAUGUCUUGGAGACAAAUGGUGGUCAUUCACAUGAAAAUAAUGUGAAUGACUUGGAAUUAAGUGGUAAUUCAUUGGAGGCAAGUGGUGAUCAUUCACAUGAAAAUAAUGUUGAAAACCUUGAAAGAGACAAGCCUACGUUGCCGAACAGUAGUUGGCCUCACCAUCUUUGAGCCCCAAUAACCAUAAUCAAUUGCAUUCAAUUUUGGAACCACCACCACCAAGUUGUCUCCCCAACCAUGCCAACUGAGGUAUUCCUAAACCUACCUACAAAGCUAAUCCUAAGUGCAAAACUAGGUAUUUGGUGAAUAAGCCCAACCUUGAGUCUAAUGUGUUGUACCCGUUAAGUAAUUAUGUGUCUAACAGUCACCUAUCAGACUCAAAUAAGUCAUUUGUGUAAUUAUCUACUGUAUCUAUUCCUAACAAUGUGCAUAAGGCUUUAGUUGAUCCACAUUGGCAAGCAACAAUGAAUGAAGAGUUGAAGUCUUUGAAGAAUGCUACCUAGGAGAUCACAGACUUGCCAAUUGGUAAGAAACAUGUGGGAUGCAAAUGGGUUUAUACUAUGAAGUACAAAGUUGAUGGGACGGUAGGAUCGCUUCAAGGUAAGACUAGUAGCUAAAGAGUAGAAUAAAAAAAAUAUGGAAUUGACUAUACAUAUACAUUUGCACAUGUGGCCAAGAUUAACACAGUUCGAAUUUUGUUGUCCUUGGUUGCAAAUCUCAAUUGGCCCUUACAGAAGUUCGACGUGAAGAAUGCUUUCUUGUAUGGAGAUUUGAUAGAAAAGAUUUAUAUGGAUCUUCCAUCAGGAUGUAAUACUCUAGAUAAAUACAAAAGAAAGGUAUGUAGGUUGAAGAAAUCCUUGUAUGGUUUGAAGCAGUCCCCUCGAGCAUGGUUUGGAAGAUUCACAAAAUCAAUGAGAGCAUUUGGUUACAAACAAAGUAACUCUGAUCAUACAUUGUUCUUGAAAAGACGAAAUGGGAAGCUUAUUGCACUUAUUGUGUAUGUAGAUGAUAUGGUGGUAAUAAGAAAUGAUCUGGAAGAACAUUCGACCUUACAAAGAUACUUGCCUACUGAAAUUGAGAUGAAAGACCUUGGAUCAUUGAAAUAUUUUUUUAGCGAUUGAGGCAUCGAGAAGUAAUUUGGGAAUUUUCUUGUUUCAGAGAAAGUACAUUAUUGAUUUGUUACAUGAAACCGGCAUGUCAUCUUGUCAACCAAUAUCUACACCAUUAGAGGAAGGAUUAAAGCUUUGUGUUGAUCCAAAUCAAGUACCAGUUGACAAAGGGAAAUACCAGAGGUUAGGUGGCUGUUUAAUGUACUUAGCACACACAAGACUGGACCUUGCUUAUGCCUUGAGCGUAGUGAGUCAAUAUAUGCAUGAUCCUGGAGAACAACAUAUAAAUGCAGUGAUGAGGAUUUUCCAAUAUUUGAAGGAAGUCCAGGAAAAGGGAUUUUGUUUAAAAGAAAUAACCAUCUUGGAGUUGAAGGUUAUACUGAUGCAGAUUGAGCAAUUUCAGUUGAUGAUAGGCACUCAACAUCAGGUUACUUUACAUUUGUUGGGGGUAACUUGGUUACAUGGAGGAGUAAGAAGUAGAAUGCGGUUGCCUAUUCGAGUGCAGAAGCCAAAUACAGAGGAAUGGCCCUUGGAAUUUGUGAAUUUUAUGGCUUAAACUUCUAUUGUAGGAUUUGGGGAUUAAAAUGAUCAGCUUAUGAAAUUAUUUGUGAUAAUAAAGCUGCCCGUAACAUUGCACGUAAUCCAGUACAACAUGAUAGAAUGAAGCAUGUUGAAGUUGAUAGAUUCUUUAUCAAGGAAAAAUUGGAAGGAAAAAUAAUUGAAGUACCAUCAAUUAGAACAAAAGAUCAGUUGGCAGAUAUUCUCACGAAAGCUAUUUCAAGUCAUAAGUUUUCAUGUUUCUUAGACAAGUUGGGCAUGAGUGACAUAUAUGCACCAACUUAAAGGGGAGUGUUGACAAAUCAAUGAGAUCUCAAUUGGAACAAAUCCCUAAUUAUUUGUAGGCUUUUUUUUUAUUAACAACCCACAUAAUGUUGAAUACACUCCACAUUAAAAUUUAAUAUUAAAUGAUUUAUAUACUCUAUUAUGCAAUGACAAUUUCAACCUUGUAGGGUUUAAAUUUUUUUUUAAAAUACUAAAUACACCUCAAAUCACUUUUACAUGUAUAUUGCAAGAUUAUUUAUCUUCUUCAACUCUCUAAACCAUUCUCACUCUCCAUUGUAGAACUAAAGCCUAAUCGAUGAAACUACAAACAUAUUGACUGAAAAAAAUUAUUUUUGACGAAAAGUACAUGAAAUUGAUGUUUCGGAAGCUGCACCUUGUUCAAAAUGUACUGUCACAGGUGGAUGAAGGUUAAACUUCAUUGGUAUUAGAUUACAUUCCUCCCCUUCUUUCGCAAAGAAGAUAAUGGUGAUGCUGGUUCACAAAAGCCAUGUUCUAAAAAUAAUCUAAUGAUCAGAUAAUACUAAAUUGCAUUUGUGCCUUCAAGAGACAAUUUUUGCAUUUACAGCAUGGUGUUUGAGUAUGAUAUGUGAUGCAUAAAAUAUCAUUUAGUGUGCAUCUCAGCCAAGGCCAAUACUUUAUACUGCCGAAUUUAACUACCAAAUGGACAUAGAGAAACUAAGCUCCUCACAUCAUCACCUUAUUUCCUAAAUUAUCAUUUUUGAGAUACACCCCCUCGCAGAUCAAUGUUGAUCAGAUGGAAAAAGGUUAAGGGAAAAAAUUCAAACAGAUCGCUCUCACCAUCUAUGCUCUUAACCCUCUCUAUUGUGUCAAAACUUCUGCCCUUUCACUUUUGUAUGGUUCCCCAAGCAGCUUCUACUUUCCUUUAUUUGAAUCCUCAGUAGCAGUAAGAAAAUACUUGUAUGUAUGACAUGAAUGAUUUUGUAUCAAAGGCACAUGGCACAAAAAAAAAAAAAAAGAACGAAAUCAUUGUGAAGAGUGUAAGGUUUAUGUUGAAAGUGUGGAGUGUGAGGGUGUUUAUAGAAAGGUAUGUGGGGUGUAUUAAAACAAAUUUUAAUUGAAAAAACAAAUAUGGAGUUUAUUAAGAAUGUGGGGUGUAUUCAAUAAUGUGUGAGGUGUUAAUAUAAGAAGCCAUAUUUGUAUACUUAGUUUUUUAUGUAUUUGCCUAGUUAGGAAGUUAAUGCCAAUUUCUAUGGAGUUGAUUUUACAUAUCAACUGUAUAUAUUUCUCCUUCACGUAUCAAUGAAAUACACAAUUAUUCCAUUCAAGCAUUCUCUUCUAUCCAAGGUAUACCACUCAGUGUUCGCAAUUUAAAUGAUAGAUUAACUUGGCACCACGAACAGAACGGCCGGUUCUCGAUACGCAGUGCAUACCGGCACGGAAUGAUGCCAUUAAUGGGAGUGUUGGCUGAUCGGUCUGGGGUAAAUGGCAACGAUGUGGUACUGUGGAGGAAAAUCUGGGGUGCUCGUAUACCAGGUAAGGUGAAGGUUUGUGCAUGGAGGGGUUGUCAUGAUGCUUUACCUACGCGCACAAAGAUAGCUCAACGGAAAGUUAUACAGGGUUUGGAGAACUAUUCGACUCUGGGUCCAGUAAUCAAUGAUAUCAGAUGGUUAUUACAAGGUUUGGAGAACAUAACGAUAAAUUUCGUGCAUAGGGAAGCAAAUAAUGUUGCCCAACGUUUGGCUCGCGUGGGACUGGGAUGCUUGGUCGAGACCCGAUGGAAUGGAGACCCACCAGACUUAAUUUGCGAUGCUUUGUUAGAAAACAAUCCUUUGUAAUGUUUUCUUUUCGUUGUCAUAUUGAGGAUAGUUAAUUGUGCGAGACACUCUUUUUCCCUUCGAUUGAGUUGAAAUCCUGACAAGGUUUUUAUCGAAACUCAUAUAUGCAUUAUAUCCUCAUAUGUACAUAUUCUACUGAAUCCUUAAUGAAUGUUGUAUUUUUUCUCAAAAAAAGUCAUGACGUACUGUUCGCUCAGGUUUUUGUGUUUUCUCCUUUCUUUUCUAAUACAGUUAAGACGAAGGGCUAACGUAUGAAAACAUAAAUUAAUGUAUAAUAAAGUUAAUAUGAACUAUACUUCUAUGGCUAAUGUAUUAUAAUAUUAAUAAUGUGGACAAAUUCUAAUCCCAAUUUAGAAUACUAACUUUGAAUUUUGUAUAAUAUGAAUCUAGGUAACAACGAGUGUGACGAAAAUCUUGAACUUCCGUGAUGGUGAGUUUUGCUGGUUCUAAUUUAACAAAGCGAGGACUAUAAGAUAUAGUUUCUCUACCAUAGGGGAAAUAACAAGUGAGUUUUCGUAUGUGAUAUGGUAGCAUGUAUCACUUCAAUAUUUCGUGGAAAUGAAAACAACAGAUAGAGGUCAGUUCAUGGGAGUUUUAAAGAAAACAGUAUAAUAUGUCCAUGAAAAUUUUGAAGUUGCAGCAUCUAUUUGUCUUUUCUCCUGAUUUCACUCAAUCCAAAGUUCCAAACAUAAAUUUCACUGUGCUUUAUGGUUCCUGGAAUAAUAGUGCUAUCCGCACAUGCAAAUUUAUUUCUUUCUUAUAGUGCUAUCCACGCAUGCAAAUUUAUUUCUUUUCUAUAUUUCCAGCAAUUAUCUCUUAAUUCGCUAAUAUUUCUUGUCAGAAUAUACUAACAAUGUUUCAAACUAUCAAGCAACUCUAUGUCUAGCAACAAAUUUAGAUAAUCGAAACUCUUUACGCUCAAUGGAUAAUUAUAAGAAAAUGCACAAAUCAUAACAAGCAUGUCUACUUGACAAUGUAAUUCAUAGUCAUUGUUAUGAGAGCCUAUUUACUAAACACAACUUGUCAGCUACAAGUUAGUUAUUCACACAAAUAAAUGUUUAGUUAUUUGAUAACAAUAAAACACAAUAACAAAUUAUGAAAAAUAACUUAGAUUAAUAUGAAAUAAGAGUAUAGAUGUUCAUGAUAAGAGUACACACUAGCCCUAACAAAAGGACUGAAUUCAUGAUAAAAUUAAAGUACACAAGCUGAAAUUCUAAAACAUAGUGAAAAACAACCGGAAUUUCAAUCUCCGCUCCACAUCAAAGCUUGAAUUGUCCAAUUAAUUCCUUCCUCAUGCUCUCAGCUUCUCUCCCUCCCUGUUGCGCAGGGAGAUUCUCUUCAAUUUGUGUAGCAUAUCCCUUUUUAUAUUAUCUUCUUCUCUUCCUUUUGUCUCACGCAACAAGGAGAUUAAACCAAUUAAUCCACACCAAUUAAACCAAUUCGCACCACUUGACUGGGAACAGACUAGCCCAAUUAGAGUAGGAAACAUACAAGUUACAACCAUAGUGUGUUGACAUGCACUAAGUCGAAUAAUCCAAUUUCUGCACCGAUCGGCAAAGCUCACACAGCCCAACCUUGAUAACUCCUUGUGUUUUUCAUAUUUUCGCCGUAAAAUACAUGUUUUUCUCUUCAAUUAUAAUUUCUACCAAAAUCGCACAAAACGUAUUAAACCUAACAAAAUUAUGACUAAAAUUAGGUAAAAGAGAUACAAAAUAUAUGUAAAUAUCAACCUAACAAUAUGCCAUUAGGUUUUGUAAUUAGGAUCGAAGUUAACUACUUUUUUUUUUCUUUUAAUGGCUCUAUUAAGGGUCUAGCAAGGCAUUAUGCUUAAUCAUUUCUAACUAUGAAGAACUAAACUCAUGAGCCCACUGAUCGUGAUCAUGGUAUAAAAUAUCGAUGAUAUCGGAAAUAUCAGUAGUCCAAAAACAUGAAAAUGUCAAUGGAAAUAUCAAGAUAUUAUCGAUAUUGAUAAAAAUUGAAUAAAAACCACGGAAAUUGUAAGAAAAACUUGGAAAUUUUUAUUGAAACUUUGGAGAAUGUUUAUUUAGUCAAUUAUCUAUUAGUUUAUAAAAAAAAUAUUAGAAGGAAAUGCAUUACAUGAUGGAUUUAACUGAUUUAAGUUGAUUAUACAGUGAGCUGGUAAACACUGUGAGUGUAGAAAAUAUGUAGUAAUUAAUGAAAAAAAGAUUAAAUGCACCAUAAUCAUUUAUAUAUAAUGAUUUACUACAAUAUUUUACACUUUAUACAUUGCAUGGUAAGAUACAUGAGUGAUUUAGUACCACAUAAAGUUCCUAUGAGGUUCAAAAUUUUCACUAUCUUCAUCAUCUUUAUGUGUAGAGUAAGUUUAUUGUGAAGAGUAUUCAUCAGAUGAUAAAUCCCCAAAAUAGUUUUGCAUGUAAUUGUUAACAUGCGACUCAUAUAAGUAUAAAUAUUUUAGCAUAUUAUCACUAAAACAUAAGUGAUAUAUCGUGGUUAAGGUGUUGUAGGAGUAAAAUGGGAGGGGUUCAAAUCCCCUUUGUGUUUUUUUUCCUCCCUUUUUUCCUUUUUUUUUCCUUCUUUUUCCUUUUUUUUUCCUUCCUUUACAUCGAUAUUUUCGAUAUUUUAGUGAUAUUACACCGAUAUUGUGACAAAAUAUUGCUGAAGUGUGAGCGAAAUUAUCGACAUCGAUAUUUUCCGAUAUUAUUGUUGAUAUUGUCGAUAUUUGUACGAUAUGUACAUAGAUAUGUUCCGAAAUAUCCGUGAUUCGAAAAAACUGAAAUAUCCUCGAUAUUUCGUCGAUAUUAUCGAUAUUUCAGACUAUGAUCGUGAUGCAAUAAAAUUCAGUUCCAUUUUACUUUUGUUGUUCCGCAUGAUUUAUCAAAUUUCACUUAAAUGUGUGAAGUUAGAUAUUUGGUCUUGAUGUUUUAUGGAAGUUUGUACAACAAAAUUUUAAAGUUUGCACAUGAGUCACAUGUAUCAUGUAUGUAAAUACUGAUGCUUACCAUAUGUGUGUGUGUAUAUAUAUUUAUUUAGAAUUUUGUACAUGUUUUAUAUGGCUUUAAAUUUCGCAUCAUCGCGCGGACACCCUCGCUAGUAAAACAUAUGUCACAAUGAUAGAUAAUGUUAAGUCACCACAUUAAUAUUUAAUAAUAAAGUAAUAAUCGAUUUCAGCAUGUUUAAAUGUCUAUAGUAAUGUUAUCUAUACCAUGUUUUUGUACCACAUUUUCAUACCACCUUAGGUGGCAUUUCAUGUAGACAGCCACAUCAUUUGAAUUAAUCAGAUUUUUAAAUUUAGUUCAUUAUUUAAUAAACUAAUAAUUAAGAAAAACUAGUUAAUUAAAUGAUGAUUGUGGUAUACGAGGAGUCUUUCUCCUUCCUCUCCUUGGGUUUUGCAAAUUUUUCAAAUAAUGUGGUUGUCUACAUGCCACCUAAGGUGAUAUAGAAAUGUGGUAUAAAAACAUGGUAUGAGUAAUAUUACUCGACGUUCUUGUGCUAGGGCGAGUUCACGAGUCUUAGUAAGAAUAUAUAGUUUAUUUUCAAUUUACUUAUGAUAUUAUGCAUGCAUUCUUUGAAUUAUUAAUCACUGUUUUAAACUCCCUAGCAAGAAUAUGUAAUUUAUUUUCAAUUUACUUAUGAUAUUAUGCAUGCAUUCUUUGAAUUAUUGAUUACCGUUUUAAACCAUCUAAGUGUCUUAGUGAUUUGUGACCAUUAAGAUCUUUAGAAAAGUAAUUUGAUGCAAUUUUGGUCGGAGGGUUCUUUGAAAUUGAUGCUGGCUUCUUGUGGUUAGUAAUUGUAAUUUCACUUAAGAUGAACACACGUCUUAAGCAUUGCAUGGAUUUUCCAAAGGGUUUUCAUAAAGCACAAUGAGUCUCUCAUGUUCAUAUUUGAUCCAAAUAUCCGGACGGAUUGCAUGUUAGAUAUACGUUCUAUGUUGGAGGUUCCAAGUAGAAUGUAUAUUAGGAAAACCUAACCUUCAAAGUAGCAUGUGUAUAUCUAUUUAAACCCGAUUUUACACUAUCGGCCUGAGCAAUCAAGGCCAUAGAAUGAGUAAAAUUCUAAACCGUUGGAUUGAAAAUUAUUUCUAAAAGUGCAGUUGUUUAUGGGUCGGUUUUGUGCACGUGGCUUAAUUGUCGUGUGGUAACAAAGUUUCAGCGUUGCUUUUCUUUGUAGAAAGCAUGGGGUAAUGCUAAAAUAAUGAUGAUGGAAUUAUGAUGAGGUAAGAAGCCUAGAUAGGCUAGGCUUUUGGUCAUGAUGGGAUAAGUCAGGAUGGGCUUUUAUCUUGUAUGAAACGUCAGCCAUUUGGAUGAUAGGCUUCAACCUAUAGAUGAAAUAAGGAAAUAGUGACGUGAUGCUGCAUGAGGUUACCAUGCAUGCAUAGAUAACGAUUAUGAAAUGAUGGUGGGACCGAAUAUCCUUGGCAGGAUGCCAAGAGUUUUAAUCAAAUGGCAUCACAUACAAGACUUGAAGAUAAAGUGGCAGUACGUUAGGUUGCUACAAAUGAACACGUGGGGUCCAAUUUGCAUGAGAUGAUUAUUUGUGGUUGAGCUUUGAGUUAAUCAAAUGUGUUAGAAUGAGAUAAAGAAAAGUCUUGAUGAGCAUGGCAUGGGUUCAAGUGUUUAAACUUUGGCGAUGCAUGCACUUGGACGCAAAUAUGGGCAUUAAUAUUGCAUGGUUCCUCAGGAUGCUAUAGAAAGAGUUUCAUGUGCAUCCAAAUUGGUCUGAUUCCAUCAAAUCCAACAACCAAUGGCCAAUAAGGAUGCAUCAUUGUCAAGCGGUCAAUUACCGAAUCAGAUGGCUAUUAAAAAUUUUAUUUGUAUCAAGUGCUUAUCUUCAGGAGUCAAUUAACGAAUGGGAUGGCUUUCAAGAGUUUUAUUUGUAUCAACUGCUUAUCUUCAGGAGGUUCAAGUUGUGGCCAACUACGGCUGUUCCGUGAGAAACACAAGCAAAUAAUGCUAUAAAUACAUGAGGCUGUGCAACAUUUAAGUCACCUCCAAUUCAACACACAAACUGCAAUGCGCAAACCCUCGCUCUACAUGAAACCUCUCAACAACCUUGAGAUUUUUAUUUUCUUUUUCCGCCAACACAUCUUCAGUUUGGAUAAACAGCACUGUGAAGGCAAUCGGAGACACAUUCAGUUUGGAUAAACAACACUGUUGUUUUAGAAUCAGCCGAUCGCGGAGCACCUUCAAUUUGGAUAAACAACACUGCAUCGAGGCAAACUGGUUACCUAUGCAAGUCUCGGUCGAGAAGAAUUUUUUAAUCCUUAUUGGCAGAGGUCAUCUCAUUAGCUUUCUCGGUGAAGUGAGGUGUUACAAAUUACUAGGCUCGACACAUUGAACGCCGAGUUGUUUAUGAUUGGUUAUUCACAAGUAAGUUUUAGAGUUUGGCAUUCUGACGGCUGAACCACAUUCACAAUCAAGACGUACAUCUCUUUUGAGUACUUGUGUCCAUAUAGUUUGGUGCCAGUUCGGCGAUCUUAUACUCUUACGAAUAUAAUCACCGUGUCUGAACCUGGCGCCAACGAUCCGUGAACUUCGUAGAACUAGCAGCCUUGUCUUCAGGCUCUAAAACUCGAAGGUCGAGACGUGUUCGUUCCUCGGCUGCAGUCGCAAGAUCAAAAAUUCAGCAGCCUGGAAAUUCAUAUUUGUGCCAGUGACUUUGUAAUAGAUUCUAAAAAUUAAUGCCAAGGGUUGUGUUCCUUCAAGGACUUGAUAUCAUGAAGUUUUAAUGUUUAAUGUAAGUGUUUUCAGCAUGUGCAGAUCUGAAAGACUUAUGGUAAAGUCUGGAAAACAAUCAAAAUGGAUAGGUCCAUUAUAAAGACUGGAUUCAAUCAUUCCAAGUAUGCUAUCACUAAAAUUAGUAAAUCUAGCAUCUCGGAGACAUAACAAAAUAGAGGUGUUAAGGCCUCUACGUGUUAAUGGUUUUAUAGCUAUUUGAACUAAACCUAUGUGGAUAUAGUUAUGACCAUCUUUCUUGUGUAUUUUAAUUUGUUCAGGGGAAAACAAUUGACAAGUUUCAUGUUCUUUACUAAGAGCAUAAGCUUUUUCAACUAUUUUAACAUGAUGUUCACUUCUAAAUGAGGCUACUGACCAUUUCUUUUUGUAAAUAUUUUUACUUGAAACCUUGGGGAUAUUCCAAUCUCCAAAAUCAACAUUGUCAUCAGUUUGAAAAUCAAGUUUUUGUUCUUCAUUAACAAUAUCUGGAACUGUGCCUAAACUAGAUCUAGAGCUAGUGCUGGCCAUUGAAUUAGAUCAUAAGAACUGACUAAUUCCGUUUGGUAAUUGGGUUGUGGUUGAUGAUAAUUUAGCCUAAGGUUACUUACUGUGGAACCUAAGGGAGUAAAACGGUUGGUAAUGAUUAGGGCCGAUGAGGAAUCGGGAAUAUAUUCCUGUUUUACUGGUGGUGGAGGUAGAGUGGCUGAAAGCGUCAUCUGGCUAUUGCUAUUGCUCUUGUUUGUCAUUCUUCCCCUGCAAAAAUUCUCUUGUUAGGAAAUCGGGGAUGCUGUUAUGGCUGCCUUUAAUGUACUCAAUGUCAAAAUCGAAAAUGCUUAAUAUGGCCUGCCAUGGUGCAAAAAUUUGUUUUGAUGCAAUGUUUUGAACAUCUUUUUGUAAAACAUGUUUUGCAGAUUUGCGAUCGACUCGGACUAAAUUUUUUUGAUAAUAUAUAUAUAUAUAUAUAUAAUGUUAGCUUGAUUCAGGUUGCCACUACCGAGAAGUGAUUAGAACGUUCAUGAUUGGGGGCAGGCCGAGCUGCCAAGAAUGGUUUUUCUCGGCCAAGGUGGCAGAACAGAGCCAGUUAUCCACGUGAUUGUAAUGUGCUGAGCCGCCAAGAAUGGUUUUUCUCGGCCCCAUUUGGAAUUCAUUAGUCUAUCGACCGUAUAUGUUGAAUGGUCGAAGUGAUUACGGGGUUUAGCUACCAACAGAAGUAAUUGGCUUCAGCUUAUGGACAUGUUAUGGCAUGAGGAAUCGUGAUCUGCUUCAAGGUACAAGGCUAAUGAGGAAUCAUGAUUUGCUUCCAAGCUGUCAAAAUACCAUUGGAAAGACAAGUGUUUUUUUUAGGCUGAGCUUGGCCAACUCAUCGAGGUAUACUUUCCAAGUUAUGUAACCAAAUAACUUUUGAAGGCCAGGAAACUUGGCCCAAAUUUAGAACAACAUGGUACGGAGUGAAUUUUUAUUCGGCGGUGGAUGCUCAUUUCUCCUUAACCAUAUAUUUCUAGGUGUCACUCAGAAGUGCUCAGUGGUCAGGGAAUGUACGAUUAUUGGUUCUAGAUUUUUUGAACUGACAGUCGUUGAGUGCACAAGAGAGUCCUCUGCUUUACCAAAUCACUUCAUUUUCGGUGAUAGAGGGGUUUUUUGACUGCGUUAAUUUCCUUAACCAUUCAGCUUACCAGCCGAAGCUCAAGGAAACUAGGAGGCAAUGUUUAACACUAUAGGUCUGAGCAAUCAAGUCCAUAGAAUGAGUAAAAUUUAGAGCCGUUGGAUUGAAAAUUAUUUCUAAAAGUGUAGCUGUUUAUGGGUCGGUUCUGUGCACAUGGCUUAAGUGCCGUGUGAUAACAAAGUUUCAGAGUUGCUUUUCUUUGUAGAAAGCAUAAGGUAACGCUAAAAUAAUGAUGAGGUAAGAAGCCUAGAUAGGCUAGGCUUUUGGUCAUGAUAGGAUAAGUCAGGAUGGGCUUUUAUCUUGUUUGAAAAGUCAGCCAUUUGGAUGAUAGGCUUCAACGUAUAGAUGAAAUAAGGAAAUAGUGACGUAAUGCUGCAGGAGGUUACCAUGCAUGCAUAGAUAAAGAUUAUGAAAUGAUGGUAGGACUGAAUAUCCUUGUAGGAUGCCAAAAGUUUUAGUCAAAUGGCAUCACAUGCAAGACUUGAAGAUAAAGUGGUAGUACGUCAGUUUGCUACAAAUGAACACGUGGGUCCAGUUUGCAUGAGAUGAUUAUUUGGGGUUGAGCUUUGAGUUAAUCAAAUGUGUCAGAAUGAGAUAAAGAUAAGUCAAGAUGAGUACGACAUGGGCUAAAGUGUUUAAACUUUGGCGAUGCAUGCACUUGGACUCAAAUAUGGGCACUAACAUUGCAUGGUUCCUCAGGAUUCUAUAGAAAGAGUUUCAUGUGCAUCCAAAUUGGUCUGAUUCCGUCAAAUCCAACAACCAAUGUCCAAUAAGGAUGGAUCAUUGUCAAGUGGUCAAUUAACGAAUGAGAUGGCUAUCAAUAUUUUUGUUUGUAUCAACUACUUAUCUUCAUGAGUCAAUUAACGAAUGGGAUCGCUAUCAAGAGUUUUAUUUGUGUCAACUGCUUAUCUUCAGGAGGUUCAAAUUGUGGCCAACUACGGAUGUUCAGCGAGAAACAUAAGAAAAUAGUGCUAUAAAUACAUAAGGUUGUGUAACAUUUAAGUCAUCUCCAAUUCAACACACAAACUACCCUGCACAAACCCACGCUCUAUGCAAAACCUCUCAACAACCUUGAGAUUUUUAUUUUCUUUUUCCACUAACACAUCUUCAAUUUGGAUAAACAACACUGUUGUCGUGGAAUUAGGCGAUCGCGGAGCACCUUCAAUUUGGAUAAAUAGCACUGCGUCAAGGCCGACUAGUUAUCUAUCCAAGUCUUGGUUGAGAAACAUUUUCGAAUCCUUAUUGGCAGAGGUCAUCUCAUUAGCCUUCUAGGUGAAGUGAGGUGUUACAAAUUAUUGGGCUCGGCACAUUAAAUGUUGAAUUGUUUAUGAUUGGUUAUUCACAAGUAAGUUUUAGAGUACGGCAUUCUGACGGCCGAACCACAUUCAUAAUCAAGACGUACAUCUCUUUUGAGUACUUGUGUCCGUAUAGUUUGGUGGUUUGGCAUGCUUAUACUCUUUCGAAUAUAAUCACCAUGACCGAACCUGGCGCCAAUGAUCCAUGAACUUCGCAGAACUAGCAGCCUUUUCUUCAGGCUCUAGAACCCGAAGGUCGAGACGUGUUCCUUCCUUGGUUGCAGUUGCAAGAUCAAGAAGUUAGCAGCGCGCCCAACGUGACGUCAACACAUUUUACUCCCUGGCCGAGCUCGGCCGAUGCGUUAGCACGCCCAACAUACAACCGAAUGACGUAGUUAGCUUUUUAAUUACUCGGCAUGUGCGCCACGUAGGCUUGGUAGUUUUUAGGAUCAACAAUAUCAUAAGUAAUUGGUAAGAAUACAUAAUAUUGCUAGGUAACAGUGGAACCCUAGUGCUUUUAUAAAUUGGUAUUUAAACUCUUUUCUUUUAUCAUAUUAGUUUUGGGCGAAUUUACUAUUUGUAUUUAAUUAAAAUUUGUUUUUAAUAUUACCCAAAUUCAAAAUCUCCUUUGUCAACUUUUAGUCUUAAGUAGUUUAUUAGGAAUUGUUUUUGCUUAAAUUAUUAAAAUUGUUCUUGUGGGGAACGACGUUGCAUGAGCAUCUAUACUACAACAACCUUGUACUCUUGCAAGUAUUUUGUGUGAUUUUACCCUUCUUUUUUUAGGUACUAAAAAUCUUAUCAAUCACCUAGGAAGGAAAAACAAUUUUUCACAAGUUUAGAGGCUGAGAUCAAAUUUCUUCUUAUCUUUGGCACAUAAAGCACUUAUUCAAUUGUAAAAUGAAACCAGAAUUCAGUUUUAACCUAAUUGACCCAACAACUUUAACUGCAACUUUUGUCCCUUCCCCCACAAAAACAUUAAAACCAUGCAUUGAGUUAGUUAUGUGAAUUGUGCAGCCGGUAUCAAACCACCAUGAGUUAAAUGGAACCUCAAUUAAGUUUGACUCUACACAUACAUUAACUAUUUUUUUUCCCAUUAGCUUUUAGAUAGUCCUUAAAUAGUUCACAAUCUUUUCUUAAAUGACCUUGAGUUUUGCAGAAAAAACACUUAAGUUUAGCUAUGUUUUUAACUUUAGGUUUAAGAUUGUUAGACCCUUUGGAAGAUUCAAAUAUUUUAGCAGAAAUACCAGUCAUAUCAGAAUUCCUAGAGUUCUUGAAGUUCUUACCUGAAUUAUUUCUAGUAUUGUAUGAUUUCUUCCCUCUUCCUCCUUGCACAAAAUUCGUAGUCUCAACAUCUUUGCAUUUUUCUUGCCUUUGUCGAGUUUCUUUUUUAACAACAAGCCAAUUUCUCUCCUCCAUUUCUUGUAGUUACUCCCGCCAAUAAGAAUUGGGAUAUUUGCUAAGUUCAAAGUCUUCAAGGAUAUUGUAGACACUGUAGAUGAAAUCACAAACAUGAAUCAAUUAUGUUCCUGAUUUCUUUUGCAGUUUGCACAUCAUAACUUAAAUUAAUGAUCCAUACAUAUAGACUUAUCAACCCAUGGUUGAUAAGCAUACAUAGAAUGACUGACUCAUCAAGAACUUAGUAAAUCACAAUCAGAUAUGCAAUAAUAGACAGUUCUCAUGCAUGUUGCAGAUGAUUUAUUUUAUUUUAUUUUUUAUUUUUUAUAUUUUUUGCAAGAUAUCGAAAUAAUUGCAUUCUUCAUCAGAAUAGUUAGUCUUUUAUAUAAAGGCUUCAUCAUUAAUAUCACAGAAUGUUAAAUUUCCUUGAACUAAUUUUGAUCAUCCUGUCUUCUACAUCAGAAUUUUGAUAAAACUCAAAAGAAAACCUAAAUUCAAUUUAUGCAUCAGAAUAAACUUGGAUGCAUGACUUCUACAAGGCAGUAUGUAAAACAAGACAUACCUUCGGUAGAUGAUUUCAAUUUGGAACAGCGCAGCGGAAUCAGUCAUCCAAUUGAACGAAGUUUAUUUUUAAUUCACAAGGGAAAACCCAAACAAGAUUUCAUAUGAAGAAGUUUUAAUGGAAACCUAAUCAGAAAGCCCCCAUCCAAUAGAAUUAUAGGAAAUCUAACGGUAACAUUUUUCAGAAAUCCAACGGUAAAUUUUCAAAGCUGUUUUGUUGUUAUCUGUUUAUUUGCAACCUGGAACCCGUGUUCGAUUCCUCAUGUUUGCAGUUUUUUUAUUUAUUUACAAACCAUUCGAUUUUAAGGCUGAAUCCAUAAACAUGUAAUUCAGGCUCAAAUACCACAUGUUAACAUAAACAUAUCACCAGAAACAUGCAAUAUGAACCACAGUACUUCAAAUACAAACCCAUGUCCAUAAACCCUUCAACACAUAAGGAAAAACUUACCUGUAGAUGAAUUCAAGGAAGCAGCAAUGCUCAAUUUCUGCAGCAAAGUAGCAGUGCACCUUCUCCUCUCUUCAGUAAUCAAAUUGCUCUUAACUAAUAAUAGAUCUUAGUCCAAAUCAAGCAACUCUAUGUCUAGCAAUAGAUUUAGAUAAUCGAAACUCUUUACGCUCAAUGGAUAAUUAUACGAAAAUGCACAAAUCAUAACCACCAUGUCUACUCAAUGAAGUAAUUCAUAGUGAUUGUUAUGGGAGCCAAUUUACUAAACACAACCUAUCAGUCACAAUUUAGUUAUUCACACAAAUAAAUGUCCAAUUAUUUGAUAACAAUAAAGCACAAUAACAAUUACUCAACAUGAAAAAUAACUUAGAUUAAUAUAAAAUAAGAGUAUUAGAUGUUCAUGAUAAGAGUACACACUAGCCCUAACAAAAGGACUCAAUUCAUGAUAAAAUUAACGGAACUUUAACGAAAAGCUUCCGGUACUAUUCACUUUAACAAAAAAUCAUAUUUUUACACUAAAAAGUCAAUCCUAGUACUAUUUACUUUACCCUUUAUUUUAUCCUUAGUGUUAAAACUCAAAAUUUUCAAGCUAUUUUCAUUAGUUUUCCUUAAAAUUAAAGUACACAAGGCUGAAAUUCGAAAACAUAGAGAAAAACAACCGGAAUUUCAAUCUCUGCUCCACAGCAAAGCUUGAAUUGUCCAAUUAAUUCCUUCCUCAUGCUCUCAGCUUCUCUCCCUCCCUGUAUGUGUGUUGCGCAGGGAGAUUCUCCGCAAUUUGUGCCGCAUAUCCCUUUUUAUAUUAUCUUCUUCUCUUCCUUUUGUCUCACGCAACAAGGAGAUUAAACCAAUUAAUCCACACCAAUUAAACCAAUUCGCACCGCUUGACUGGGAACGGACCAGCCCAAUUAGAGUAGGAAACAUACAACCGUAGUGUGUUUUUCAUAUUUUCCCGUAAAAUACAUGUUUUUUUCUCUCAAAUUAUAAUUUCUACCAAAAUCGCACAAAACGCAUUAAACCUAACAAAAUUAUGACUAAAAUUAGGUAAAAGAGAUACAACAAAUAUGUAAAUAUCAACCUAACAAUAUGCCAUUAGGUUUGUAAUUAGGAUCGAAGAAGUUAACUACUUUUUUUCUUUUAAUGGCUCUAUUAAAGGUCUAGCAAGGCAUUAUGUUUAAUCAUUUCUAACUAUGAAGAACUAAAUUCAUGAGCCCACUGAUCGUGAUGCAAUAAAAUUCAGUUCCAUUUUACUUUUAUUGUUCCGCAUGAUUAAUCAAAUUUCACAUAAAUGUGUGGAGUUAAAUAUUUGGUCUUUAUGUUUUAUGGAAGUUUGUACAACAAAAUUUUUAAGAUUGCACAUGAGUUACAUGUAUGUAAAUAGUAUUGCUUACCGUAUGUGUGUGUGUGUGUGUAUUUAUUUAGAAUUUUCUACAUGUUUCAUACGGCUUUAAACUUCGCAUCAUCACGUGGACACCUUCGCUAGUAAAACAUAUGUCACAAUGACAGAUUAUGUUAAGUCACCACAUUAAUAUUUAAUAAUAAAGUAAUAAUCAAUUUCAACAUAUCACAGCCCGUCCCGAAAUAAUUAGUUUCGACAGUGUGAAAUGACGACUUUACCCUUAGACGUUGAGAUUGUGAUGUGUGUGUGGCAUACUUUUGGGACAUAGACUAUUAUGUUGAGUUCCUAAGUUUUGGACUCAAUUAAAAGUUAAACUUUUGUUUGUUUUGGUUGGUGACCAAGUAAGGACACACACACACACACAAAAGCACCCCGUGCACUCUCUCUCUCUCUCCUUCUCUCGACCUUCCUACCAUUUCGGUACAAAACGUAUGGACGAACACCCAACUCACAUUUCACGCACGGAUCAACGUCAAGAAGGUAAGAUUCGAACUCCUUGCAAGUCUCUAAGUUCAUAUAUGCCAUUUUUAGAUUGUGAAACCCUCAAAACCUUGAGAAACCAUCACCCCCGAGUUGAGUAAUGUUCAUGUGGUCAUAAUUAUGGAUGUUUUAGGGGAUUUUAAGCUAGUAGGAAGCUUUAGGACGUUCUUACGAAGCUUGGAGAAGAAAAACCAAGCAAAUUGGACAUCGGGAAGUCGAGUUCAGAGAGUUUGAAAUUUGGCCGGAAUUAUCGUGCCAUCUCCAGCGAGAUCCCAUGAUUUUUGGAGCUUGAAAUUGGUAAGAAUAUGUUCUAAUCGUUGUAAGCUUCAAUUUGAUUUAAGUUUCAUGAAUUUUGGUGCAAAAAUGAAGAAGUUAUAAGGAUUUUUCGGUUUUCCAUUUUCCGGGCGACGGUCGCCGGAGUUCGAAGGUAGGAGAUGACGGAAUAUUCGGUCAAUAACGGUGUUAGUUAAUUUUAACGGAAUAUUCCUAACGGCCGUUAGGCCUCAGUUAAGGUUUGGCCGCGCGUGGGGGCGCGUAAGACCGUGUCCUUGCAGGCGCGUGAUGGCGUGUGAGGGUUCCAAAAAUUAUUUUAAAAUUUUGGGCGUGUUCGUGGAGUUGUGUAGGUCACGAUAGUAUAUUUAUAUACCUCAUUUGAGCAAUGUAUGAGAAGUUAUUAGCUAGUAUUGGUUAUGUGCUUUAAAUUAACGUUUUUAUAGUUGUUUCGCAUAUAGGGGAGACUAUCCUGAGGACGAGCGCAGUCAAGGACGACUCGGGGGCUACGACCCUUCGACCUACCAGUGAGUGGGCUUUUGGUUUUCAGUAUAUAAUUAUAUACUUGAUAUUUUUCCCAUAAAAUGUGUUUAAAUGAAAGUAUGCUUUGAAAUGUCAUGCUAAAUUUAUAUUCAGCAUAUGAAUUAGUAUAUGAUGCAUAAUAUGAAUUGGUGUUGUGGACGCUCAGGUAAGUUAUGUUUGUUAUAUGAGAUAUUGAUAAUGUGAUACAUGAUUGAGAGCUCAUAAACUUGCACCCCGGGUGAUUGUGAUUUAGCCAGAGAUAUAGUACAAGCAUAUUUAUAAUGUCACCUCCCGCACCAUAUGCUCACAUUGGAUCCAAUUUAGGUGCACAGUCUUGUCGUACAGACGAUUAUAGGUGGUUCCGACUUGUAGGUGACUAGCGAUUUAUUGCACAGCUAUCAUGAGAACAUAGCAUUGAGCAUAACUAUAUUACACCCAGUCUUGUCAUUCAGACCUUUGCAGUGGUUCCGACUCAUGUGCAGUGUAGUGCCGUUUAGGUCACUUACAGUGACUCUGGUUAGAUUGACUAAUGAGCUAUGAAUUCAGCCGUACAGACUUCUGCAAGGGUUCCAGCUAAUAUGUUAUUUAUCCAUGAAUUUAUUUUCACCUGAGUUAAUUAUUAUGUGUUAUGUUUUGGCAUGGCAUACUUAUGAAUAUGGAUAUGUGAAGCAUGAUUUGAAUAUAUAUAUAUAUAUAUAUAUAUGUUUAUAUUCCAUUUCUGGGAAAGUUAUACAUGUUUUACGGCGAGGGGUUAGAGCUUUUGAUAAAUGAAAUGGUUUUGAAAAGCUUUAUUUUUGCCCACUCACACUUUCUGUUUUGCGCCCCUCCAGGUUUUAGAUAAGUUUGUUCGUUGGUGGCUCACGAGGAUUAGUGGAGGUUCUGACAGACUAUCACAAUUGUAGGGCAUCUUUGGGUGUCGUUUAAUUAGUACUUAUUUUUUGGAUUGAACUUAGGCUACUUACGCUCUGAUUGUGUAUUCACACAUAUUCUAGCACUUGUCUUAACUAGUACUCUUAUGGAUUUGACUUUUAUUUAUUCGUAUUCUCUAUUAUCAUUAUUGCUUCCACACUGUGCACAUGGCUACGUCACUCUCACGUGACUGUCGGCAUGCCACGAUUUCAGUCGGGGUGUGUCACAACAUGUUUAAAGUAUGAUCAUUGUUGCAUGUGGAAAAAUUCACAAGUAGUAAAUCCACCACCGGUUCGUUUUAUUUUGAAUUUAUUAUUAUCAAAGGAAGGCAGAUACUUUUCUUGUUUGCAUAUGGUGCAAUAUUAUGCUGAAUAGGGUGUUGGAUUUCUACCCAUGCGUCUCAGAUUUGACCCCUCCCCUAAAAUAUUAUAGUAGUCUUGAACUCUCUCCACAUCCUAAAAAAGAAGAGGAAGAGGGUUUGACACUCUUACAAUAAUUUAGAAGAUAAAGAAAUUCUAAACCUAAAACACAUGAUGAGAACAUUCUAUCCAUAUAGUGAAUUGCAACUGCAUGUUUCUUUUGCUUGCGUGGUGUGCACUAGCUCCAAUAGCAAAUGCUUAGAGAAUAUGAUAACAUUAUUUAAAUUUGAAUGUAUUUACUUAACCACUUUAUUACCAAGUAAAUAUGGAUGACUUAAUUCUACAAGUUUCAUGUAACCCCUGCAAUGUUUGACAUGCUUCCCCUGAAAUUCUACAAGUUUUAUGUAACCCCUGCAAUAAUUGAAUUGUUCCCCGAGCCAAUAAUUGAUACGUUUGGUUAAUCUAGAGUCUAAAGGUUUCAAAUUCUGGAAUAAUUGACAUGUUCACGAUCUGCAAUAAUUGACAUGUUUUUCUCGAGCCAAUAAUUGAUAAACUUGGCCACUCUAUAGGUUUCAAAUUCUAGACCCUAACUUGCCACUUAGUACUACGGUCUAAUAGUAUUCAUCUUUAUUUGUACGUAAGAGGUCUUAGGUUUGAUUCUAUUCAAAGACGAAUUUGAACCAAUUUAUGGCUAGCCAAUUGUGAGGCUAAGAUGUUCAAUUCUAGUCAAAGACGAAUUUGAAAUAUUUUAUUGCUAGUCAAUUAUGAGGCUAAGCUCACUUCCUCCCCUUUAAUCCCCUUUAAUGUAAAAAAAAUAUCAUCUUAUAUAUAUAUAUAUAUAUAUAUAUAUUCUAAACCCAACUUAUUUUUAUCCGUCAUCCAACUCACUUUCACCACCUGCAAUUAUUGACAUGUUUUCCCCGAGCCAAUAAUUGAUAAGUUGGUUGCUCUAGAGGUUUUUCCAACUAAUUUUUUCCAUCGUCCAACUCACUUUCACCAUUAGAUUAACCAGAGUGGUUUGCACUGUGUACAUGUAUUAAUUUAUAAAGAGAUAUUUGUCGAUUUCCUCCCAAACUUGUAAAGAGUUGCUAAUUUUCUUUAUGAAUUUAAUUUUAGCAUAUUACUCUCUCAACUUUUAUAAUUAGCUAAUUUAUUUUGGAAUUUUCUAUUCAAUUUUCUAUCUGUUUUGGUCAUAUGGCAAACGUUUGAGGGCAAUAAAGUAACUUUAUUCCUAACAGCAUAUUGCUUUUUUUAUUCUUAUUCUUAGUCAAUUUUAGCCAAUUACUCUCUCAACUUUUAUAAUUAGCUAAUUUCCCCUGACAGAUUUUGGAAUUUUCUACCGAUUUGGUCAUAUGACAAAUGUUUGAGGGCAAUAAACUAACUAUAUAUGUUGAUGCACAAAAUCAACAAGGACCUUGGUACAAUAGAAAGUGUUAAGUUUAUGACCUUCGCUAGAUUGCUCCGGUCACUAGUCUGGAUAAGUAUGUAACUGGAUAGGGAUAGGGAGGCAAACACAAGAUGUACGUGGUUCACCCAAAUUGGCUACGUCCACGGAUUAGAGGAGUUCUCAUUAAUUAUGAAGGGUUUACACAAGUACAUAGGUUCAAGCUCUCCUUUAGUGAGUACUAGUGAAUGAUUUAGUACAAAUGACAUUAGGAAAUAUUGUGGGAGAAUGAUAUCCUUUUAUAGAAGAGUUUCUAGCUUUGUUCUGACAUUGACACGUGUCGUGUUGUGAUUGGCUUCUGAUGUUGACACGUGUCGCACUGAGAUUGGCUUCUGAUGUCGACACGUGUCGCAUUGUGAUUGGCCUCCUAGUUGGAGGGAAACUCUUCUGGGUCAUUGACGGUAUAACGUUGACCGGUGCUCAGUAGUUUCGGGAUUGGUCAAGUAUGGUACAAACAGUGCUCCCCUAAGUUCCCGAGUGAGGGAAGCUCCUCGGUUGGGGACUUGCAAGAUCCAAGCCGCUGAGUAAUCACGAAACUUCUAAGUACCGAAAUGUGGUAUCGUCUUCACUUGCCUUAUCUGUCUCAUAGGUAGAUGUGGCAUCUUCUGUAGAAGUAUUCUUUCUCCAUCCAGGGGUGGUAUCUUUAACCGGUGGAGAUGCACAAGGUAAUGUAUCAAUUUCACUUGAAGCUUACUUGUAGUUUCAGGCUUGGUCAAGCGCGAUACAAACCAUGUAGUAGGAGUCCCCCAAGUUGCCGAGCUAAGAGCUCUGUCGAAAAAGGUGAUAGAUAAGGUAAGCAAUCAGAACUCUAAGCAAUCAGUCCCAGAUCAAAAGUUUGAUUUCGAGUUCCGGCUGAUUAUUCUCAUUCUCCCUAUCUUGCAGGCAGCAUGAAUGAUAAAGAGAAGAAAAAGGAGAAUAGAUUAUAUGAGGUACUUUUGCUUUUGAAAAAGUAACUUUCCACAAGCUUAUUCUUGAACUGGGUUGGAGGGUUUUCUGGUUUCCUCCAGAGUAUAUGGCCGACUCAAGAAUUUGAAGGUCAAAAUAAGUCCAUCAAAUCUAAAGUACGUUCGACCAUGAUGAUAUGGGAUACGUUUGAUGUUGACAAAGUAGUGGAUGUAUCGGCACGUGUUCUGUUACGCUUGUCUCCACAUGUUUCCUUGUAUCAUUCUCACUUGCCCUAUCUGUUCCUCAAGCAGAUGUGGUAUCUUAUCUGGAAGCAUAAGAUGUUGAAGAUAAGUACUCGAGAGCAAUGCCAAGUAAGUAAUCAGGCAAGGGGUUCUAGGCAGUCAGUUCCUUACUAGAAGCUUGAUUCCAAAUGCUGACUGAUUGCUCUCUUUCUCAUUGUCUUGCAGGUAAGAACAAGGGUAAAGGAAAAGACAGGGAAAAAGCAUGAUAUGGGAUACUCUUGCUUUUAACCCUAAUGAUAUGAGAUACUCUUGCUUUGGUGUGGCUGGUUUGCAUAGGUAUUAUUGGAGGGGGGGAAGAAAGUUGAGUAUUUCGAAAGGUUUCGUUGGGAGUGCCCUCUCAGAUAUGAGGAAGGGUUGAGCAUUUUUACAGGUCUGCCUGUCCGUGGAGGAUGGAGAUCGAUAUAUAUAGGAGUCUCUCUAACAACAAGUAGUAAUGAUAUUCCUUUACCCUUCUUGGUCAUAGCAAUGUAGUGGGAGCUGCAAGCUUCACGUGUUUUAACUUUGUCAGAGCACUUUGAAAAAGUAGUAUGUGGUAUUUGGAAAUCUGAUGUUGCGUGUGAAGAUUGCAGACAAGCUUUAUCCAAGGAAAUCUGGCUCUCGAAGUUCGGAGAGCGGUGCUUCUUCGGUUUUCAAACAAGCAAUCCUGUCGGGGAUCUGGCUUUCGAGAUUCGGAGAACGGUGCCUCUUUGAGUUUUGAGAAAGCAAUCCUGUUGGAAGUCUGGCUCUUGAUAUUCGGAAAGCGGUGUCUCUUUGAUUUUUGAGAAAGUAAUCAUGUUGGGAGUCUGGCUCUUGAGAUCCGGAGGGUGGUGCCUCUUCGAUUUUUGAGCAAGUAAUCUUGUUGGGAGUCUAGCUUUUGAGAUUCGGAGAGCGGUGUCUCUUCGAUUUUUGAGAAAGUAAUCCUGUUGGGAGUCUGGCUCUUGAGAUUCGAAGAGCGGUGUCUCUUCGAUUUUUGAGUUGUUGGGAGUCUGGCUCUUGAGAUUCGUAGGGCGGUGCCUCUUCGAUUUUUGAGCAAGUAAUCUUGCUGGGAGUCUGGCUCUCGAGAUUCGAAGAGCGGUGCCUCUUCGAUUUUUGAGCAAGCAAUCUUGUUGGGAGUGUUUUCUCGAAUGUGAGUAAAGGUUGGGCAUUUUUUCCAAUCUGCCUUGCCACGGAGCACAGAGGUUAACACACAUAAGGACUUUCUAGUUAUCAAGCAGUGGUGUUGUUCCUUUACCCUUGUGGGUAAUAGUAGGGUAGUUGGACCUUUAAAAUUUACAUGUCUAAACUUUGUCAGAGAUCUUUGGCAAAGUUAUUUGUGGUACCCGAGGAGCUGAUGUUGCAUGUGGAAAGUGGUGCCUCCUCGAAAUCCGGAGAGUGGUGCCUCUUCGAUUUUUGAACCAACGGCCAUGUUGCCUUUUCUUUUAUAAGGGCACCAAUUGUGUGCAAGAAGUACAUUCAGAGAGUUAUUGCUUGUAGGAAUUUUCCCCUUAUUUUUGUAAUUCAGAGAUUUAUUAGACCUCAUUUCUCCUUCAUCAUUUCUGAAAAUGUCUGGCCCAUCCGACAGUCGUUUUGACUUGAACUUUGGUGAAGAGGCAACUAUGUCUCCUCAAGACAACAUAUGGCGCCCAUCCUUCUUAUCCCUUGCUGGUCCUAUUACCGUUGGAGACUCUGUGAUGAAGAAUGAUAUGACCGCUACGGUGGUGACCAGGAACCUUCUCACUUCUAAAGAUAACAGACUACUUUUCAAACGGUCUGAUGAGUUGGCUAUAAAAGAUUCCCUGGCUUUCAGUGUUCAGUGUGCAGGUUCUAUGUCUAAUAUGGCCCAACGCUUAUUUGCUCGAACCUGCCAAGUUGAAUCAUUGGCGGCUGAAGUGAUAAGUCUCAAAUAGGAGAUAAGAGGGCUCAAGCAUGAGAAUGAACAGUUGCACAGGCUUGCACAUGACUAUACUACAAACAUGAAGAGGAAGUUUGACCAGAUGCAGGAAUCUGAUGGUCAGAUUUUACUUGAUCAUCAGAGGUUUGUGGGUUUGUUCCAAAGGCAUUUAUUGCCUUCGUCUUCUGGGGCUGUACCGCGUAAUGAAGCUCCAAAUGAUCAACCUCUGAUGCCUCCUCCUUCUGGGGUUCUGUCCAGUAUUAAGGCUCCGAAUGAUGACCUUUCGGUGCCUUCUCUUUCUAGGACUCUGUCGAUUGCUGAGAUUUCUUCUAAGCAACCUUUGUGAAUGCUCUCUCUUGUUUGUUUAUUUUGACUCAUGUAUAUGUACAUAUUUGUAACUUAUCGGAGAUAUCAAUAAAUAAGUUUUGCUUCAUUUCAACGUAUUGUGUUAAAUGCACCAAAGUUUUCUUCACUAAGUUCUUUGAAUUUUUUUCUUUUGUUGAAGCAUGUAUGUUAAGCUUUGUGAGUGAAGCAUGUAGGUUGAGGUAGUGUUCCCUUAAUUUCCCGAGUGAGGAAAAUUUCUCGGUUGGAGACUUGAAAAAUCCAAGUCACUGAGUGGUCGUGAGACUUCCAAGUAUCAAGAUGUAGUAGCAUAUGGUAGGAGUCCCCCAAGUCUCCGGUCGAGGGAGUUGACAAAGGAGGUGUCUUGCUAGUAGCCAAGCUUCUAAAGUAACAAAACUUCACCAUUUUCCUUUCUAAGUGGUAGCCCAAAACUCCUCCUUCAUAUAUAUUUGUUAUGAAAGUUGUUAGGCCCAAAGAAAAGGAGGCCUAGGCAAAUUAUUUUUUUUUCGAUUUUUCAAAUUUUUGAAUUUCUGAAUUUUUGAAUUUUUGAAUUUUCGAAUUUCCGAAAAAAAAUAUAUAUAUAUAUUAAGCUUUGUAAGUGAAGCUUUGGUAUUGAAGCUUUGUUGGGUACCAUGAAUUGAUUUUGCUUCACAUUAUCUUGAUCAAGAGUGUGUGAAGCUUUUGUGGGUGAAGUUUUUGUGAGUGAAGCUUUUGUAGGUGAAGCUUUUGUGGGUUAAGCUUUUGUGGGUUUUGUGGGUGAAGCUUUUGUGGGUUAAGCUUUGGAGUUGAAACUUUUGUUGGGUACCAUGAAUUGAUUUUGCUUCACACUAUCUUGAUCAAGAUAGUGUGAAGCUUUUGAGAAUUUGUAGUUGUCCACCAUUGAUGAAGCUUUUGUGUUGAAGCUUUGUAGGGUACCAUGAAUUGAUUUUGUUUCACACUAUCUUGAUCAAGAUAGUGUGAAGCUUUUGAGAAUUUGUAGUUGUCCUCCAUUGAUGAAGCUUUGUUGAAUUUCCCUUUUUUUGUUUUUUUUUUGGGAAAAUUAGAAAUUUGAAAAUGGGAGGGAGACAACAUAUACAAAUUUUGCUUCCACAUUGUUGAGCAAGAGAUUGUAAUGCAAGCCACAGUAGUCGAAGGUUUGAAUGAACCAUAUAAAUUGAAUUUGCUUCGAACAUUCAUAAUCAAGAGUGUGUGAAGCUUUCUACGAGUUGUAGUUGCCCUCUAUUGAUGAAGCUUUUGUUGGUGAAGCUUUUAUGUUGAAGCUUUGUAGGGUACCAUGAAUUGAUUUUGCUUCACACUAUCUUGAUCAAGAUAGUGUGAAGCUUUUGUGUUGAAGCUUUGUAAGGUACCGUGAAUUGAUUUUGCUUCACACUAUCUUGAUCAAGAUAAUGUGAAGCCUUUGAGAAUUUGUAGUUGUCCUCCAUUGAUGAAGCUUUGUUGAAUUUCCCAAUUUCCUUUUUUUUUUUUUUUGUUUGGGAAAAUUAGAAAUUUGAAAAUGUGGGAGAGACAACAUAUACAAAUUUUGUUUCCACAUUAUUGAGCAAGAGAUUAUGAUGCAAGCCACACCUUAUAAUAGUCGAAGGUUUGGAUGAACUAUAUAAAUUAAAUUUUCUUCGAACAGUCUUGAUCAAGAGUGUGUGAAGCUUUCUACGAUUUGUAGUUGUCCUCCAUUGAUGAAGCUUUUGUUGGCACCAUAAAUUGGUUUUGCUUCACACUGUCUUGAUCAAGAGUGUGUGAAGCUUUUGAGAAUUGUGGUUGAACUCCAUUGAUGAAGCUCUUGUUGACACCAUAAAUUGGUUUUGCUUCACACUGUCUUGAUCAAGAAUGUGUGAAGCUUUCUACGAGUUGUAGUGUUUGCAUUGUUACAGAUGAGAAAUGUCUGAAGCAGAUGCAAGAGGGCUGAAUAGCUUGAUCUUCGUAUGCCAUGCACUGAAGUUGUUGUUGGCUUACAAUAAGACUUUGUUGGUGACUAUAACUCUUGUUGGGCAUAAGUGCUCCCCUAGUUAAGUUGUCAAGCUUGAAGGUUUUUGAUUAUUUGUGAAUGCUAGGAGUUCACAUGUACAAGUUGUACCAUUCAUCUUUUGGUAGGUGGAAUGAAUGGUGAGUUACUUUCAUCACUUGGUUGGUGGUACGAAGGUGAGUUCCUUCAUCACCUUUCAUCACAUUUCAUCAAUUGGUUGGUGGCACGAAAAUGAGUUCCUUCUUCACUUAGUUGGUGGCAUGAGUGGCAAGUUGCCAAAUAAUAUUAGAGUACGGGUUGUAUAUUUCACCACUUGGUUGGUGGCAUAAAGGAGAGUACGGGUUGUACAUUUCAUUACCUGGUUGGUGGCAUGAAGAUAAGUUCCUUCUUCACCUGGCUGGUGGCAUGAGUGGCAAGUUGCCAAAUAAUGUUAGAGUACGGGUUGUACAUUUCAUCACCUUGUUGGUGCUAUGAAGAAGAGUACGGGUUAUACAUUUCAUCACCUGGUUUGUGGCAUGAAGAUGAGUUUUUUCUUCACAUUUCAUCACCUGGUUGGUGAGAAUAAGGGCAAGGUGUCGAGGCACAUUGUAGCAAGUGUCGAAUGACACAAAGUAUGUUGAACCCUUUCGAAGCACAGUUGGCUUAUGUAUGGAUGUGUUGGAAUGUAUGAUGUUUAUGUAUGAAUGUGUUGAAAUGUAUGAUGUUUAUGUUGAUUGAUAUGAGUAAUGCUUAUGAAUGUUUUGCUAUGCAUGAAGGGAUCCAUGCUUUUGAUAUGUGAACCAUGUUGGUUAUAACACUUAGUAUCACAUAAUUUGUGUCAAAGUACGCAUGUUGAAUCUCUGAGUUGGAGUAUAAGGGUAGGUCAGCGUAGACCAAGUGUUCCAGUGCUAGGAACGCAAAAGACUCAAAAGAAGUUGUCUGAAUUCCCUUUUCUUUAAAUAUUUUCCGAAUGGCUUGUGUGACAAAAGAUCUCAAACGGUUGAGAGUCAAAACAUUUGUAAUGUGUAUGCCUUCUUAUAAUAGUAUUUCCUUCAGUACCUAGUCCUCCACUUUGAAAGAGUGAGGCUUGGCCCCAUAGUCAUAAUAGUCGACGGUACGUUCACCCCUGGUUGUCUUGAUACGAACUUUUAUCCCUAUUAUUGUAAUGGGUUUGCUGAGAGUAAAAAUCCUUCCUCUUACCAAGAGACAGAUACGUUUGGUGACUUAGUGAGUAGCUAAAUGAGGCAGGAGAUGAUGCAAUGGGUGUCUGAAUGGCCAAGAUCUCCUCACUUGGUAGAACUUGACUUCCACUUCCCACUUGUUGAUAGGGGUUAACCAUAUGGGGGUUCCUUUCGUAUGUCCUUGCUUCGGCGGAGGUGUGGUUGUAAGCCUGUGCCAUCACCUCAGAGUAAGUCUUCCAACUGUUGGCAUUGAUCAUGUAUUUGAAGAAACAAUCAUGUACGCCUGCCAUGAAGGCCUUGAGGGCGGUCUUGUCAUCUGCCUCAGCGCAACGAGAAUACUCAUGGCUAAAGCGACCGGCAUACUCUCAUAGUGACUCGUCCGGCUUCUGGCGAAUAGUGUACAAGUCAUCUGCAGAAUGCAAGUGAUCAGUCUGAAAGAUGUGUUGAGAGACAAACAGUUUCCUCAGUUCCUCAAAUGAGUCUACUGUCUCGCGUGUUUGAGUAUGCCUAGUUUCAUGGAGCUUCUCAAAGAGCUUCACACACUGCUCCUGGAGGACCUCAUUCUUCAUUGCUAUCUUGUUGUUCUGAGCUUCUGGCUCAUCAACUUUAGCUUGAAGAGCAACCCUCUUUCCUUCCUUCUUUCAUUGCUUCGUACUAGGUGCAAAAGGGGUGUCAUUCUGUGUGCUGUGGCUUCCUUCGCUCCCCAUGUUGGAGAGGGAUGCAUGGUCAAAAGAGAGUGUAUGAAUGGUGGAAACCAGCUUGGCAAAGCUGAAGAGAGUAGGAAUAAGUGUUGUUCCCACAGACGGCGUCAAAUGUUGAUGCAUAAAAUCAGUGAGGACUUUGGUACAACAGAAAGUGUUAAGCUUGUGACCUUCGCUAGAUUGCUCCAGUCACUAGUGUGGAUAAGUAUGUAAAUGGAUAGGGACAGGGAAGCAAACACAAGAUGUACGUGGUUCACCCAGAUUGGCUACGUCCACGGAAUAGAGAAGUUCUCAUUAAUUAUGAAGGGUUUACACAAGUACAUAGGUUCAAGCUCUCCUUUAGUGAGUACUAGUGAAUGAUUUAGUACAAAUGACAUUAGGAAAUAUUGUGGGAGAAUGAUCUCCUUUUAUAGAAAAGUUUCUAGCUUUGUUCUGACAUUGACACGUGUCGUGUUGUGAUUGGCUUCUGAUGUUGACACGUGUCGCGCUGUGAUUGGCUUCUGAUGUCGACACGUGUCGCAUUGUGAUUGGCCUCCUGGUUGGAGGGAAACUCUUCUGGGUCUUGACGGCAUAACGUUGACCGAUGUUCAGUAGUUUCAGGAUUGGUCAAGUAUGUUACAAACAAUAUAUAUACCCAUGUUAACUUGGAAUGAACCUAUAUCAAUUUAAAAUGUACCAACAGUAACUUGAAAUGUACAAUGUUAUCCAUUUCAACUUAAAACGUAUAAAUAUAUCGGCUUAAAACGUACCAAAUACAAACUAUCAUUUAAAAGGAAAUGUACCACUAAAUUCUAUUUUCCAAAGGUACCAUGGUAUGUGAAAAAAAUGGAAAGGUGGGUAAAAUAUGUGCAAAAACAAAAAGCUCACCCUUAAUUUGGUAUCGAUAUUGAUCAAAAGGUGUGUAUAAAAUAAUGGUUAAACUGCUAUUUGACCCCUUGAACUAUUAUCCCAGUUAGAAUUGUCUCCUGAACCAUUUUUUUUGGUAAAUUAACCCCCUAAACUAUUUGAAAUUGGCCAAUUACCCCCAUGUCGGUAGAUUCCAUCAAUUAUUUCGUCAAAUUCAAGGGCAACUUAGUCUUUCCAUCAGCAAUUCUUACUUGUCAACCAUAACCACCAAUAAAAUUAUGACAUAUGGACACAAAAUAAUGUGUAAUGACAAUGUGAUGUAAACAUUUUGUUUUUUUUUUUUUUUAUGUUUUACACAUUAUUUUGUGUCUAUUUGUCAUAAUUUUAUUAGUGGUUAUCAAUAACAAGAAUUGAUGAUGAAAUGACUAAUUUGCCCUUGAAUUUGACGGAAUGGUGGACAAAAUUUAACGGCAAGGGGUUAAUUGACUGAUUUUAAGUAGUGCAGAAGGUUAAUUUACCAAAAAAAAUAUAUAGUUCAAAGGGUCAGAUUUAACUGAGGUAAUAGUUUAGAGGUCAAACUGCAUUUUAUCCUAAAAUAAAAUAUGAAAGAAAUGAAUACGACCGAUAAGGGAGGAUGGAAGAGGGUCAACUGACCGAUUAAUUGAGGAAAGCAAUAGGGGCAUUAUAAAAUUGCUAAUGGUUGCAAAAGAAGAUAGCAGAAACAUAUAUCACGUUGGUUUGUAGGGCCCGACAAUUAAAAAAAAAAGUCGCCAGACCAAUUAAACGGCAUGGACGGUUUGGUUUAGUUGGUUUUUUAUUUUUCGGUGAGUAAACUGAACUGCACCGACUAAAGUCAGUUUGACAAGCGGUUCCUAUAAUUCUUGAACAUUAGUUAACCAAACCGACCUGUGGUAUAGUCAUAACGUGUGGUACAGUGAUUCAUAAUUAAAAAUAAUAAUAAAGAAGGCGGGACACCAAAUUUUACAAAAUUUUAAACAUCUUUGAAAUUUGACAAAUCCACUUCCUUCUCCAUGCCCUCAUCUCUUCCACUUUAUCUUCCUUUCCCCUUUUUCAGUUCCUUAAUUUUUGUCCUCUAUUUUUCUCUCUCUCACAGUGACUUCCAUAUCUACUCUAAUCCUAUGUCCUCACAAGCACCCCUGUUUAUACUUCCUCUCAAACCUUCUUCACGUUUCCCCAUUCGUCCCUCUACUUAUGCCAAAAGAACCCUUCUUCCUCCUCUAAGCCAACUUAGUGGAGAUGGGACUCUAUGCACCAGAAUCUCUUCAAACCUGCCAUCUAAAGCUUUGUUUUUGUAGCAAUUUACCCCAAUUUCGUUAAAAAGCCUUAUAAAUUCGGCCUUGGUUUCGCCCUCUUUCUCACCUCCGCCGCUCACUCCAUUGAUCUGUCUGUCCAUUGCUCCGCUGUCACUCCAUUGAUCUGUCCGUCGCUCUGUCGAAUCUUAUCGCUUCGCCAACCAAUAGGAAGAGUUUACAUUUGGAUGAAUAUUCCUUUUUUUUUUUGUUGGGUAAGUUUGAUUUUCAUUUGUAUCAUUUUUUUUUUUUUGGAUAUUCCUUUAUUAACGAGCCUUUGAUAAUAACUUGUCACAGUAAUGUUUUUCUUGUUCAAAAACUACCCCUAUGCUUAUUCUCUCUUAUGAAUGAUGGUGGAUGACGAUUGGGUUGCAGGGCAGUUUGCAUUUGCUAGCCCUUCUCACUUUAUGGCUUAGAAAUUCGUAUGCAAAUUUUUGGACGGAUUUUUAGGUUAGAGUUUUGAAUUUGAUUCUCUAUAUUCUCACUCAAAUUUUGGAACUUUGCUCUUGUAUUUUAAUUUUGUAUUAUAUUUGUUCUAAUACUGUUGUAGUUGUUUUGUUGGUUUGAUUGCGGCUUCCAUUUUCUCCACUUAACUAGUUCAGGGGCCAUCAUAUGGUUAGUAAAUUGAAGAUGUUUCCCUCAAUUUCAUUAAAUAACUUAAGCUUGAAUAAAUCUUGGUAACCAAUAUAUUUGAAAUAUGUCCAUUGUGAUAAAAAAUCAGUGGGAUUAUCCACUUUGUUUCUUAGGUAUGUGCAUGAGUAUGUCUUGUUUUGAUUGAGAUGUUAAGGGAAAAGCUCCAGUGUAAUAAAGAAUAGUUUGUACAAAGGUCUCUCUGUCUCUUGCCCGCUCUAUCUAUAAUUGCAUCAAAUUACUUUGAUGUAAAUAAAUGGCACUCCUAAUUUCAAGUUGUUUUCUUAUAUGUUUUGGUUGUGGGUGUUUAAUGAAUGGAGACACAAAUGGUGGCUAUAAAUGGUGCGACUCAUGUUCAUGGCUUCUCAGAAAAUGUAUUUGCCUUAUCCAUGUUCUUUGCCUAUUCAUUAUAUAUUUUUUUGUUUUCUUCCUUUAUGUGUAUUUUGAUGUGCACUCGAGUCUUUUCUCACACUAUAUUUUAUUGCUUUAUUUCAAUCUUUUCUGCAAUAAUGAUAGAUUCCCUUGUUCAAGAAACUUGGUUGAAAUGGUAAUUCCCAACUUCAAGUAAUUGUUUAUUUAGUACAAUGAUUGCAAAUAUAUUGACCGAUAGGAGAAUUCAGGUAAUGCUUUUUCGUUAGUUUUGAGUAUGUUUGUUGUUGUCGGUGCUUAUUGAUUUUCAAUACUACUGAAUGUUUGUGAUUUACGUUGUUUAUAAUUUCAAUUGUUCAUAGGUUAACAACAUGUUCAUAGUAUUAACUUUCAAAGACAUUUGAAGGUGUUCAAGGAAAAGUGAAGCCUUUCAACCGACUUUCCUUGUUAUUUGAGGCCUAGUUAAUGAUUCAUGUGUAAUUUGACAUUUCAUAGUAUAAAAUUAAAUCAAUGGUAGUGUUGUUAGCUUUGUACAAUUUGUAAUUCCUUAUUAAUAUGUGAUUAUUUAGAAAAAAAUUGUAUAUAUAGUAAAUUUCCAAUUUUGUGGGUUUAUAUAUAUAUAUAUAUAUAUUUUUAGAUUUUUUUUUAAUAACGGGCAUUACUUGUGGUAAAUUAAUAAUCCACAACGACCAUAGUACCCGUGGUGUUAAAUUCCAAUCUACAACGGGCACUGUCGGUGGUUACAUUAUAUUUGACAACGGGCAUAGCCCGUGGUCGAAACUGAGACUUUUUAUCACAUCCAGAUUACUAACGGGUACGAUGUCCGUGAUGGAUUGCAAUCUAUCAUGAACAUUCACCGUGGUAGAUGAGCAUUUUUCUUCUAGUGAUCGUGAAUCUCUCCAAGUGACAACUCUCUCUCCCACUCCGACGUCAUCCACAAACCAAAAAUUGAUCCAAACCAACCCGCCAUUAUUGGUUAACCGACAUGAUUGGUUUUAGACCCAACUUGAUCAGUUUUGGUUUGGAAUUUUAGCUCCACUGACUAGGUCGGUUUGCUUUUGAUUUUAGCCCAAAGCUGACCCAACCCAACCCAACCCGCACCCACCCCAAGUUAAUUGUAUGGUGUGGAGUUAGGAAGAAAAUGUAUGUUACAAGAGUAACUAUAUCAGGUUUGAUGUGGUUUAAGAUAUUUAAAACUUUAUUAUAUUUUAGGAGAUUUAGGAUAUUAAUAUGUAGUUAUUAAUUAAGGGAAUUGUUAUUAGCACUUUAAAAUUUUCAUUCUACACUUGUUGACUCUAGAAACUACCAAGCCUACGUGGUGCGCAGGCCGAGUAAUUAAUAAGCUAACUACGUCCUUCGGUUGUGUGCGGGGCGUGCCAACUCGUCGGCCAGGGAGUAAAAUGUGUUGACAUAGCAUUGGGCGCGUUGCUAACUUCUUGAUCUUGCGACUGCGGCCCAGGAAGGAACACGUCUCGGCCUUCGGGUUCUAGAACCUGAAGACAAGGUUGCUAGUUCUACGAAGUUCAAUAUCAAAUUCAGCUUCCAAUGUGCCAAAUAUAGUAACAUAUAACACCUCACUUCGUCGAGAAUGCUAAUGAGAUGACCUUUGCCAAUAAAGAUUCGAAAAUCCUUCUCGACCGAGACUUGGAUAGAUAACCAGUCAACCUCGAUGCAAUGCUGUUUAUCCAAACUGAAGGUGCUCCGCGGUUGGCUGAUUAUACGGCAACAGUGUUGUUUAUCCAAACUGAAGAUGUCACCGGUUGCCUUCACAAUGCUGUUUAUCCAAACUAAAGAUGUGUUGGCGGAAAAAGACAAUAAAAAUCUCAAGGUUGUUGAGAGGUUUCGUGUAGAGCGAGGAUUUGCGUAGGGCAAUUUGUGUGUUGAAUAGGAGGGGGCCUGAAAUGUUGCACGGUGUCCUGUAUUUAUAGGGAUGAGUAUGCAGUUGAUAAUUUUGUGGACUCCAAUUGCAACUCUACCACCUCCUCCCCGUGCUAAUACGCGAUAUCACCGCCACAUUUUAACUCUUGAUAAGCCAAUCCCUUUGCUAAUAAUUAUCACAACCUAAAUCGGUGCUAGCCAGGCUCAAAAUUUCAAAUACUUGACCACGUGCAUGCAUGAUAAUGACUCUGGGAAACAAUUCCAAUAAUUCAUUGUAUGCCAUCCUUAUCUCCUACUCAUCCCAUGCAUGAUAUAACUCACGUGGCAUAUCCCCAUUUGACCGGCCAAGUGAAAAUAUUACAGACGCCUCCUCAAGUUGAACCCCAUCGAGUCUAUCAUUAGUGAAAUUUGACGGUUGGGAGAUAUGUCCACCUAAAGGCCUUGAUUGCACGGGCCGAUGAUGUAAUUUUGGGUCCAAACAACACUAUUCACAAGUUUAUUUUUCUUUCUAGUUAUAGAGUUUAAAGUGCAAAAUAUAAUUUUUGGAGUGCCAAUAACAAUUUCUUUAAUUAAUUGGUAAUCUUGGAUAUAAUAGCUUAUGUUUGGCACGCUCAAAGUGUGUGAGAAUAAUUAGAAAGCAAAUGACAGGCUUAAAGUGUGCGAGAAAGUAUAUAAACCGAUCCACAUGCCCCAUGUAUUCAAAAUUAGUAUAGCAAGAGAAGAAUCAAUUAAAACAAUCACGAAACAGCAUAUUUACAUAUACAUAUGAGUUUGAGUAAUGAAGUGGGUGCUACUAGCCAUGAGCUUCUCGGAGCUCAAGCUCAGCUUUGGAACCACAUAUUCCAGUUCAUAAACUCCAUGUCACUCAAAUGUGCAGUUCAACUAGGCAUCGCAGACGUGAUUCACAACCACGGCCAACCCAUCUCUCUUUCCGAGCUCAUGGCCGGGCUCAAGGUCCACCCUUCUAAAGCUCAUUUUGUCUCACGCCUCAUGCGCAUCCUCGUUCACUCUAAUUUCUUUGCACAACAUCAUCAUGUUCAUCAUGAUCGUGCCGAUGUGGAGGAAGAAGAAACAGUUGUAUUGUAUAGCCUAACACCAGCUUCCAGGCUUCUUCUCAAAGACGGGUCAUUAAACACCACACCAUUUUUACUCAUGAUACUCGAUCCGGUAUGUAGUGUAUAUUCAAUUUGGUAGAUAACAUUUAUAGGGUAAAUAUUCUUUAUGUAUACAUCACAAGUCCUGGGAUUCAAUGACAAUGAAUAUAGAAUUUCUAGGAAAGUAUGAAAAACUAAUUCACAAUUAAUUACAACAAUGAUCCUAACUAGGCUUUUAUUCUAUCAGGUAGUGACAACCCCAUUUCACUUGAUGGGAGCUUGGUUGAAGAUAAACGGUGGUGAUGAUCCAGCUGCUACAUGUACACCAUUUGAAAUGGAAAAUGGAAUGCCCUUUUGGGAAUUGGGAGCUAGGGAACCAAGGUUCGGUAACUUGUUUAAUGAAGCAAUGGAGGCUGACUCCAAGCUUAUCGGAAGGGUUGUGGUGGAAGAGUGUGGAGGAGUUUUUGAGGGUUUGAAGUCCCUAAUGGAUGUUGGAGGGGGAUCAGGAACAAUGGCCAAGGCCAUUGCCAAUGCAUUCCCCAACAUCAACUGCACUGUGUUUGACCAGCCACAUGUGGUGGCUGGCUUGCAGGGGACGACCCACAAUUUGGGUUUUAUGGGAGGAGACAUGUUUGAGGAAAUACCUCCAGCCGAUGCAAUUUUGCUUAAGGUACGUAAUAUAUAUCACUCAAUUGUUUAUCUUAUCUUGUUUUUGGUUCAAUUUCCUAACUAAUACCCUUUUGUUAGUAAAAACAUCUCAUCCAUGUCUUUGCAAGUUCCAGCGAGCAUAGUUUGUCCCAUGUACAUGGUAGGGUCCACCUCUAUUAAAGAAAAUAGAGUGAGUGUGUUUAAAUAGAAUAUUGAAUAUAAAAGGCUCCGACUAGUAAGUGCAUUUAAAGUAAAUUGUAGCAAUGGUUCCUCAACUUUAAUUAAAUUUGAGUAAUGGUCCAUCAACUAAAAAUCUAUUACCAUUGGUCCCUCAACUUAUCAAAAUGUGUAACUAUGGUCCUUUUCAUCAAUUUCGUUAGAAUUUUGUCUAAAUAAGUUAUGUUUGAAUGACCAUUGCUACAAUUGGGGUCCCUCAACUCAUUAAAACAUGUAGCUAUAGUCUUUUUCGUCAACUUCGUCAGAAUUUUGUCAAAAUGAGUUAUGUUGGAAGGAUCAUUGCUACAAUUGGGUUAAAGUUGAGAAACCAUUACUCUAAUUGGGUUAAAGUUGAUGGACUAUUUCUCCAGUUGGAUUAAAGUUGAGGGACCAAUGGUAAUGAAUUUUUAGUGAGAGAUCAUAGCUGCACGUUUUGAUGAGUUGAGGGACCAAUAGUAAUGGAUUUUUAGUUCAAGAAUUAUUGCUCUAAUUGAGUUAAAAUUAAGGGACCAUUGCUACAAUUUACUCAUGCAUUUAUAUGCGUACAUACAUUGUUCAUGUAGUUGUGUGUACCUCUCCUCCUUAUAUAUAUAGAUUAAAGGCUCAUUUGGAAGUGUUUUUAAAAUGAUGAAAAACGUUUUUGUUGAGAGUGCUUUUGAAACCAAUCAUCAUUAUAAAAAAAAUGCAAUUGUAUCAUGGAAAAGCACUGUUAAAAAAAACACAUAACUAGUAUUUCUUGUAGGAAGCACUUCAAGUAUUUUUGGGAAUCCAAAAUUACUUUCAUCACCAGCACUUUCAAUCAUUUAAAAAACACUUCCAAACGAGCCCUAAUUAUAGAAAUAUUGUGACAAAUUGAGUAACGUAUGAAAUCAAUUAAUGAUCUGUAUCUCAGUGGAUUAUGCAUGAUUGGAACGAUGAAGAAAGCGUGACAAUAUUGAAGAAGUGUAGAGAAGCAAUAUCUCUUAGCAAAAACGAGGGUGGGAAUAAGAAGAUUAUCAUCAUAGACAUAGUUGUGGGAUAUGUGGAUAACAAGAAGAAGAUGAUGGAUAAGAAAUCAAUUGAAACUCAGCUCAUGUUCGAUAUGUUGAUGAUGUCCAUCCUCCCUGGCAAAGAGCGUAGCAAAUCAGAAUGGGAGAAGAUCUUUUUCGCUGCUGGAUUCACUCACUAUAACAUCACUCAUACACUCGGUUUUAGGUCUCUUAUUGAAGUUUACCCUUGAACAUAAACCUUCCUACUAGUAGUGUAUCAAUAAAAUUAUGUGGAUACACGCUCUAGCUAAUAUAGGUGGCUGCACUAUUAUAUUCCAUAUAUCUAAAAUAAAGAGUGUCAUCAAGCGUCAAUUUUAUGUGACAAAUAAAUAACAAGUUAAGUGUGUUGGUAUAAAUGUUUUUAUAUUGUGUCUUCAAAUAAUAUCACUUAAUUAUGCGCCAUAUGCAUCUAAUUUACAAUAUAUACAAUCAACUAGAUGAAUUGUCUUUUUUAUCUGUUUCUUUGGGUGUGUUUGUGUGUGUGUGUUAUUUUGGAUGGAUUUAGAAUACAAGCUGGAUGGAUGAAGUGGAAGAGUGCAUCUGGCGUGUUGUGUGACCGUCGUAUGCCACUGAAGCUCAAGGGAAAAUUUUAUAUAGGACGGCAAUAAGGCCGGCGAUGCUGUAUGGCACAGAAUGUUGGGCGGUGAAGCAUCAACACGUACACAAAAUGGGUGUAGCGGAGAUGAGGAUGCUUCGUUGGAUGUGUGGGCACACAAGAAAGGAUAAGAUUAGGAAUGAGGAUAUCCGGGGUAAAGUAGGAGUAACCGAAAUUGAAGGAAAGAUGAGAGAAAAUCGGUUACGGUGGUUUGGACAUGUGUAAAGAAGGCCUACUGACGCUCCGAUUAGAAUAUGCGACUAUGGGACAGAGGUUCAGGGCCGAAAGGGUAGAGGAAGACCUAGGAAAACUUUGGAAGAGACUCUAAGAAAAGACUUAGAGUACUUGGAUCUAACGGAGGACAUGACACAGGACCGAGCACAAUUGCGUUCAAAGAUUCAUAUAGCCGAUCUCACUCAGUGACUUGGAUUUUCCAAGUCUCCAACCGAGAAGUUUUCCUCACUCGGGAAAUUAAGGGAAUACUACCUCAACCUACAUGCUCCACUCACAAAGCUUCAACAUACAAGCUUCAACAAAAGAAAAUUCAGAGAACUUAGCGAAGAAGGCUUUGGUGUAUUCAACACAAUACGUUGAAAUGAAGGAAAGCUAUUUAUUGAUAUCCCCGAUAAGUCACAAAUAUGUACAUAUACAUGAGUCAAAAUAAACAAACAAGAGGGAGCCUUCACAAAGGUUGCUUAGGAGAAGUCUCAGCAGUCGGUAGAGUCCCAGAAAGAGCAGGCACUGGAGGGGGAUCAUUUGGAGCCUCAGUACUCGACAGAACCCUAGAAUGAGGAGGCAGCAGAGGUUGAUCAUUUGGAGCUUCAUUACGCGGUACAGCCCCAGAAGACGAAGGCAAUAAAUGCCUUUGGAACAAACCCAUAAAUCUCUGAUGAUCAAGUAAAACCUGACCAUCAGAUUCCUUCAUCUGGUCAAGCUUCCUCUUCAUGUUUGUAGCAUAGUCAUGUGCGAGCCGGUGCAACUGUUUAUUCUCAUGCUUGAGCCAUCUAAUCUCCUGUUUGAGACUCAUCACUUCAGCCGCCAAUGAUUCAACUUGGCGGGUUCGAGCAAAUAGGCGUUGGGCCAUGUUAGACACAGAACCUGCACACUGAACACUGAGAGCCAGAGAAUCCUUAACAGCCAACUCAUCAGACCGUUUGGAAAGUAGUCUGUUAUCUUUGGGAGUGAGAAGGUUCCUGGCCACUACCGCAGCGGUCAUAUCAUUCUUCAUCACGGAAUCCCCAACAGUAAGAGGACCAGUAGGGGAGACGAAGGAUGGGCGCCAUAUGUUAUCUAGAGAAGGCGUGGUUGCCUCUUCAACAAGGUUCAAGUCAAAACGACGGUCGGAGGGGCCAGACAUUUUCAAAGGUGUUGAAGAGUGAAGAGGUCGGACAAAUCAAGAUCUUAGAAGUGCAAGAAUGGAGCUUCUACUGGUGGAGAUUCAAGUGUGCUUUGGAACUUAAUGCCAGGCUCUAUAAAAAUCUGCACUCGACGAAGCUUCAGAAAUCGAAGAGGCGUUUGCUUUCUCAAAAGCUGGGCUGCUCAGAGACCACGAGGCGUUUGCUUUCUCAAAAGUUAGGCUGCUCAAAGACCACGAAGGCCGAUCUCAGAAAUCGAAGAGGCGCUUGCUUUCUCAAAAGCUAGGCUGCUCAGAGACCACGAGGGCCGAUCUCAGAAAUUGAAGAGGCACCUACUUUUCCAGCCUUGUCAGCACCUGUCAGCUUUGCGGAAAUUAUGGGCAUUAUGUCGAAGAUUUCUGGUGAAGUAGAAAACACAUGAAUCUUAGUGUUCAAUCACCCACUUCUCACACGCAACAUUAGCUCAUGGGUACCACAGAUAACUUUGCCAAAGUUCUCUGACAAAGUUGAGACACGUGAAGCUUGCAACUCCCACUACACCGCUCUGACCAAGAAGGGUAAAAGAAUAGCAAAGAAACAGCACUAACAAAGUUUAGACACAUAAAUUUUGAAGGUCUAGCUACCAUAUUAUUACCCACAAGGGUAAAGGAACAGUACCACUGUUGGAUAAUUGGAAAGUCCCUGUGUGUCAACCUCUGUGCUUCGUGGCAAGAUAGACUAGCAAACAUGCCCAACCUUUUCUCACAUUCGAGAAAACACUCCAACAAGAUUGCUUGCUCCAAAAUCGAAGAGGCACCGCCCUCCGAAUCUCGAGAGCCAGACUCCCAACAUGAUUACUUUCUCAAAAAUUAAAGAGACACCGCUCUCCGAAUCUCGAGAGCCAGACCCCUAGCAGGAUGGCUUUCUCAAAAAUCGAAAAGGCAUCGUUCUCCGAAUCUCGAGAGCCAGAUCUCCGACUGGAUUGCUUGUUCGAAAACCGAAGAGGCACCACUUUCCCAACUUCAAGAGCCGGAUCUCCUUGGAUAAAGCUUGUCUGUAAUCUUUACACGCAACAUCAGCUUUCCAGAUACCAUAGACCACUUUUUCAAAGUGCUCUGACAAAGUUAAAACAUGUGAAGCUGGCAGCUCCCACUAUCGUGUUAUGACCAAGCAGGGUAAAGGAAUAGCAUUACUACUUCUUGUUAGGGAGACUCCUAUAUAUGUUGACCUCCAUCCCCAACAGACAGGCAGACCUGCAAAAAUGCUCAACCCUUCCUCAUAUCUGAGAGGGCACUCCCAAAGAAGCCUUUCGAAAUAUUCAGCUUUCUUUCCCCCCGAUAAUACCUCUGCAAACAAGCUAUACUAGAGCAAGAAUAUCUCAUAUCAUCAGGGUUAAAAGCAAGAGUAUCCCAUAUCAUGUUUUUUCCCUGUCUUUUCCUUUGGCCUUGUUCUUACCUACAAGACAAGGAGAAAGAGAGCAAUCAGUCAGCACUUGGAAUCAAGCUUCCAGUCAGGAACUGACUGCCUGGAACCCCUUACUUUAUUACUUACCUGGCAUUGCUCUCGAGUACUCAUCUUCAACAUCUUAUGCUUCCAGGGAAGAUACCGCAUCUACCUGAGGAACAUAUAGGGCAAGUGAGAAGGAUACAAGGAAGCAUGUGGAGACAAGCGUAACAGCACACGUGCCGAUACAUCCACUACUCUGUCAAAAGCAAAAGUAUCCCAUAUCAGCAGGGUCGAACGUACUAUAGAUUUGAUGGACUUGUUUUGACCCUCAAAUUCUUCAGUCGGCCUUAUACUCUGGAGGAAACCAGAAAACCCUCCAGCCCAGUUCAAGAAUAAGCCUGUGGAAAGUUACUUCUUCAAAAGCAAAAGUAUCCCAUAUCAUCUCUUCUCAUUUUUCUUCUCUUUAUCCUUCAUACUGCCUGCAAGAUAGGGAGAAUGUGAACAAUCAGCCGGAACUCGAAAUCAAAGUUCUGAUCUGGGACUGAUUGCUUGGAGCUCUGAUUGCUUACCUUGUCUGUCACCUCUUUCAGCAGAUCCCCUAGCUCGGCGACUUGGAGGACUCCUACUACAUGGUUUGUAUCGCGCUUGACCAAGCCCGAAACUACAAGUAAGCUUCAAGUGAAAUUGAUACAUUACCUUGUGCAUCUCCACCAGUUAAAGAUACCACCCCUGGAUGGAGGAAGAGUACUUCCAGAGAAGAUGCCACAUCUACCUACGAGACAGAUAAGGCAAGUCAAGACGAUACCACACUCCGGAACUUAGAAGUUUCGUGAUUACGAGAUCAUUCUCCCACAAUAUUUCCUAAUGUCAUUUGUACUAAAUCAUUCACUUGUACUCACUAAAAGAGAGCUUGAACCUAUGUACUUGUGUAAACCCUUCACAAUUAAUGAGAACUCCUCUAUUUCGUGGACGUAGCCAAUAUGGGUGAACCACGUACAUCUGGUGUUUACUUUCCUAUCUCUAUCCAUUUAUAUACUUAUCCACACUAAUGACCGGAGCAAUCUAGCGACGAUCACAAAAAGCGAUCGUUUUCGCUACCUAGGAUCUAUCUUGCAAGAGAACGGAGAAUUAGAUGGAGAUCUCAACCAUAGAAUACAAGCUGGAUGGAUGAAGUGUAAGAGUGCAUCCGGCGUGUUGUGUGAUCGUCGUAGGUCACUGAAGCUCAAGGGAAAAUUUUAUAGGACGGCAAUAAGGUCAGCGAUGUUGUAUGGCACAGAAUGUUGGGCGGUGAAGCAUCAACACGUACACAAAAUGGGUGUAGCGGAGAUAAGGAUGCUUCGUGGGAUGUGUGGGCACACGAGAAAGGAGAAGAUUAUGAAUGAGGAUAUCCGAGGUAAAGUAGGAGUAGCCAAAGUUGAAGGAAAGAUGAGAGAAAAUCGGUUACGGUGGUUUGGACAUGUGCAAAGAAGGCCUACUGACGCUCCGGUUCGAAGAUGUGACUACGGAACAGAGGUUCGGGGCCGAAGGGGUAGAGGAAGACCUAGGAAAACUUUGGAAGAGACCCUAAGAAAAGACUUAGAGUACUUGGAUCUAACGGAAGACAUGACACAAAACCGAGCGCAAUGGCGUUCUAGGAUUCAUAUAGCCGACCCCACUUAGUGGGAAAAGGCUUUGUUGUUGUUGUUGUUGUUUGUUCGUAACUUUUUAAUUCAUGUUUGAUCCACCUCUUAUGAAAUGGUAAAUUUAAACUUGAGGGGUGAGAUUUGAAUAUUAUAAAUUUGUAAAACUAGUACCGUUAAACCGAGAAAAUUUGUCCCAAUUCGUCACACUUAACCAUUGAUCAUAUAUGACACACCUUGUGAUCCAAACAUUAAAAAAAUAAAAAUAAAAAUAAAAAAGCCUCAAUGUCCUUUAAUUAUUUGGACAACUUCUGAUUUUUUUUUCAAAAAGGUUUUGAUUGCUAGACUUUUUGGUCAAGUUGAGGUGUGGGAAAGCAGUAGUGUGAGAACGUUAAUUUAAAACUAAACUUCGAACGUAGCUUUGAUUUCAUAUUCUACGCAAACAAAAUUGGAAAGAGGCGGAGGGGUUCAUGAAUUUUUUUGAUAUAAAGACCUGAUGAUUCUCGAAAUUACAAAGCCUUUGUGGGACCAUGAUUUUCCAGGGUCGGUGUAAGGCUGAUCCGAAUACUGUUAUUUCAAAAGUCAAGUCAUGGACUCACCAGUUUCGGGUAGAGUUGUAUCAGACAGAGCAAGGUGCCAUCAUCACUCUACUUUGGGGCACUAGGCGGAGUCCUAGCGACUCUGCUUGAUGACCAUACUUGUUCUGCAAGACACAUGAUCUGAUCCGGAUAUGGACACAAUCAAAUCGUAGAAGUCUUGGAGUCCCUACAAUCAAGAGAGAGGCGUGUGCCGCAAGUAAUCACAAUUCUAAGAGGAUGAAAUAUCUACUUAUUAGAUAUCCUCUAGGACUCUCCCAGCUUAGAACGAGGAUUAUAUUCUAAAAAAGUCUCUCUCCCAUCUAAUAUUCAUCUACGGUAACACAAUCUAUACAAUUGAUUUCUCUUGCCCACUGCUUAAGUCUCAAAUCGUUCAAUAACUUGACCAUUGAAGAGCUUUUGGCCGGCACACCCACCCACCCCCCCCCACACACACAACACCCCAACCUAAGGUUUGCUUAUAGUUGUUUGACUGUUUUGCAAGUUGCUCAUGAUUACACGAAUUUGUGCUCAACUACCGCUCGUGGAGGUGCCUAAAUUUGGUUCCAAGAAUUGGUUCUUUCAUUGGAAGAGAACCCAUAUUCUUUCCGACCAAACCACUCGACCAACAAACAUGUGAGCUGAAGAAAGCUUGGUUAACGUCAACGUUAACCCAUCUAACGAGGGGGCUUACCCUCUGAUGCAUCAAAUUCACUUCCGUUUUUCUUUUGUUAUUCCACAUGAUUUAUUAAAUUCCUCUUAAAUGUGUGGAAUUAAAUAUUUGCUCUUUAUUUUUUAUGGAAGUUUGUACGAUUGACAACAUCUUUUAAGCUUCCACAUGAAUUACAUGUAGGGCUGGUUCGGUAUGGGAUACCGAACCAAAAAUGGCAUAUCAAAUCCCGAACCGAAAAUUUUCGGGACGUAAAUCUCAUGACCGAUCCCGAACCGAAAUUUCAGGAUUCCCGAAAUAUUUUCGGUAUUUCGGAAUUUCCCGAAACCGAACAUCAUCAGAAUCCAAAUCGUCUUAGAUUAAUAUUGAAAUCAUCCGAACUUGCAUUAAAAAUCCAAAUUGAAAUCAGAGACAUAGUGAUAGUGAAUCAGUGAAAGAUUUAUGGUCGAGAAAGAAGCAGAGUGAAGAGAGGGACCUCCUCCUGACCCGAGCCCCCAAUUCGAAACCCUAAGCC